This 53736-nucleotide long non-coding RNA is filed under the name Glycine max (soybean). Lineage: Eukaryota; Viridiplantae; Streptophyta; Magnoliopsida; Fabales; Fabaceae. The record is from RNAcentral.
UUUACCCUCUCCAAUUUUGUCCAGCUUCAAUGGCUGUGGAGUUAAAACUGAUGCAAAGAUUCAAAAAGGUUGACUUACCAGCCCAUUGCACCGAUUUUUAAAUUGCCAUGGGUCAAAUGGAUUUACCGAAAUCCCCAUAUAGAAAAAGUUUUUUUUUAAAGCAAAUGUGUCACUUGCAUUCUGUUUUCAGUGAUUUGGCAGACGAUGAUUUAGUAUUAAACCCCUUAUUGAUAUACUGAUACGCUGUGAUGACCAUAAACUCCACUUAUCUGAUACCAUAUAACAUUAGUAUUUUUGUUUUAUGUUUUGUUUGUUGUUACUUCGUCGUGUAGUGACCUCACUAUAGUUAUAAAGGGUUGGCAAAUGAUGUGAAAAUUUCUUAUCCUAUACACUGAAUAAAUAUUGUGAAGAUCAAAAACUCCGCUUAUUAUCUGAUGCCUUCCCUGUCUUAAUUUUCUCACUUUUAGUUUUGGUUGUAACUCUUGAGUGAUUUUUGUGUGUUGUGGGGUUUGAAAAAACUUUAUAUGAUUUUGUACAAUUGUUUAACUCAUCAAUGAUGAAGAAAUGCAGACGGGCGGACUGAACUGAUGCCGUGUUGAUUGUCUGCCACUUCCAUUUUCGGAAUUUCUCUGAGAUUAUAUUGCAUAUGAUUGUGUUGAUUAAAUAUAUGUAUUUUGGCUGGUAUUUUUUUGUUUUUUUAAAGGAUUGAAACUUCUGCAAUGAUGCAGUUGCAUAAAUAUGUCUGGACAUAUGAAUUUUUUUAUGAUAUAAUAUAAUUGCUUCUUCUGAGCAAAAGUAUCAAUCCAUUGAUUGUGCAUUCUUUUACCCACCACUUCUCCAGUUGGAUGAGUUUAUGUCUUUGUUUAUAUCACCAAUUUGCUAUUUGUAAUUUUAAUUUAUUUCUGCUAGUUGCUGGUUUUAAUUUUAGUUUAUCUUUUUCCCUAACUGGCCUUGAAAUCUUUAAUUGUAAAUUGCUAUUUGCUUGUUUGGUUUUCUCUGAUGACUUAUUUUAAAGAAUCUAUUAGUAUCAAAUAAGAGCAUGGCAUCUAGUCUCACAAGAAUAAGCACAAAAGACGCCGAACAGAAUUUGAGAUUUUUGCUUCCAGUUUUGGAAUUAACCAAGAAUAGCAUCCUGUGCAUGUAAAAUCUAACAAGAUCAUAAGGUAAAGGAUUAAUUGUGGCAAUGUUGAUCAAGACAAUGAAAAAUCAACUGAAAUGGGAAGACAUUGGAUAAAAAAGUGAAGCAAAUUCAGUCCGGUAUGUCACUGAUAGCAAGAGUUAAAUUUGGAAAAUGGUCUGUGAUUCCAACCAUGGUGACAAUGCAACACUACUAAACUGCAAAGAUGAAACUUGAUGACGGAUUUUGUGUAACUACUUCACAACACGGCAGCAUAAGGUUGAAAAGUUUGCAAAUUAAUUCAUCUGGUUGUUUCAUCAUUGUAUAAUUUUCUACAAGGUUUAGAGAUAAUUGAGACGACCGAUAAAUAAUUAGCUUUUCAGUUCUUUAAUUUAUUUUUUAGAUUUAGUUUGAAUUUUUAGUUUUUUUUUUCAAAUCAAUUUUUUAAUUUUUUAAAUUGAAUCAAUUAUCUAAAUUGGGUCAGUUAAGAAAUUGCUUUGUACAUUUUCAAAAAAUAUAAUCUAAAUACUAAAAUCUAAAUAGAAAAAAAAAUUAGAUGAUAAAAUUAAAAAUUUAAAAAUAAAAAAUUAAAUGGAAGGAAAAAAGUAAUUUAACCUAGAAAGUAUACAACAUCCCCUUCAGUUGCAUAGGCACACUAGAACUACUUGGUUCCUUCACAUUGAAACGAUUUUGGUGUCUCUAUACCAAUGAAACACAUGCUCAAUGUUUUAUCACAUCAUUGACGGACUUAAAGAUUUUAUAAAUUUAGCCCAUAAUAGCAUAAGUAAUUCAUAAAAUUAUUUAAGAUUUUCAAUAAAACAAACCUAGCACAAUCAUGGUCAUGGUUACGUUUACUUUGAGGAGCAUGAAAUGUAACGAUAUUGCUAAAGGACACCACAAUAAUUAGAAUGACGAGUGAUGAAAAGGAUAUCGACGUGGAAAAAGUCGUAGUAUAGUUUAUGCCUCCAAUUACAGAGGAUUGUGACACGUGGACGUUCAAGAUUUCAAUCAAUCUCAUCAACUCCUUAUAAAUUCGGGCUACGAUUAGUUGAAAUUCAUUCCAUUGUGUAGUAACCAAUCAUCUUUAGUUCUUCAGUAAUUUAUUGUGGGAUUCUAUUCUAAGAUUUUGAGAAUGUCUAGCUGUGGGUGUGGAAGCAGCUGCAACUGUGGCAGCAACUGCGGGUAUGGAAUCAUUUUUCUUUCUUCUUUUAGUAUGCUUGAUUAACCUUUAAAACUUGUAUUAGAAAUAAAAUAAAUUUUGUAUUGGAAAUUAAUUUUAACAUGACUUUUAAAUAUUUUAUUGCUUUCUCAAAAAUGGGAUUUUCAUGUGAAUCUUGUUAAUUUAUUUUUCUUAUUGCACAAGUUUAUAAGGGAUAGGAUUUUCUGUGACUAUUCUGAUUGGAUUUUUUAGUAUCCUUUAUUUUAUGAAAUUAGAUUCUUUGUUAUCCCCGACCAAAAAAAGAUGCUUUAUUUUCCUACCUACAUGCAUGGGUUUAUAGGGAUAGAAAUAUAGAAUUUUUCUAUUUUUUUGGGUAGUUUGAUUGGCUUUGUGGGUUCCCUUUUUGGUUGAAAUUUAUGAAAUUCGAUGCUUUAUUCUUCUUUCAACAUCAAUUAUUAAGAGGCUAAAACUAUGCUCUCUUUGAGACUGUUUUGCUUUCAGUGUCAUUUUUGUGCGAGGAAAAAAAAUCAUGUGGUAUUUGAAUUACUUUUUUCAUUGGAGCGUUCUUCAUAAAAUUGUUCAAAAAACAAAAUGUCUAUUUUCAGUUUUUUAUAUUUCUUGGGUACGUUCUUCUUAUAUGAUGAUCUUUACCAAACUCGAUUUUUUUUUUAAAUUUUGUUUUGCCACAUGUUUUCGUGAACCUGAUGUUUGUUGAUUUUUCUUGUAUUUCAGUUGCAACAAGUACUCUUUUGACUUGAGUUACGUUGAGAAGACAACCACAGAGACUCUAGUUUUGGGUGUUGGGCCUGUGAAGGCCCAAUUGGAGGGUGCUGAAAUGGGUGUUGCAUCUGAGAACGGUGGCUGCAACUGUGGAUCAAGCUGCACCUGUGACCCAUGCAACUGCAAGUAAGGUCAAGAUGUAUAACCUUGAAGCAGAGAUAGCUGUAAUAUAUGUAUCAACAAAUAAUAAGAAGUAGAAGUUGCGUUUGGAGCUUUAGAAUAAAGUGUUUGCUAUGUGUUUUGUUGGUCUUUUAUAAAUAUGUAAUUUGAAUCAUCAAUCUCUGCUUAUAAAUGAAUACUUUUGGUGUUAUAUGAAUAAAAAGUUUGUUGGGUUAUUUCAUUAAGUUGGGCAUAGCGGCAAUAAAGUUGCAUUUAAAUACAUUAUUACGGCUAAUUAAUAAUUAGAAUAAGAUUGAUGUUUGCUACGCAUUAUUACGGCUAAUAUAUAUAAAAUUCAAGAAGUUUCAACUGUAGCAAACAUCAAGUCAAUCUACCGUAAUGUUUCCAGAAUUGAUUGCUUCUGUAAAAAAAAAAAAGUUGAUUACUAAAAAAAGGAUUACUAUAAUAAAAAAUAAAAAAUAUAAAAAUUUGACCGAGCAAUAACGUUAUGAAAUAAAUAAAUUUAUCAUUAUUAAAAGUAGAAUAGAGCUUUCGAGCUUUUUUCCGCCUAAACUUACAGCAAAACAAAAAAAAAAAUUAUAGUCAUUAAAUAUGAUAUGCAAUUACAUCAUAUAUUUUUUAUAAUUGUAAUUAUAAUAAUGAUUAGCAAUUAUUAAAAAUUAGAAUAAUGAUAAUGGUUAAUAACUAUUAUAAUACUGCUAUAUAUAAUCUCUUUUUGGACGUUAUCCUCAAGACAUAUUUCGUUGAACACCUUGUGUGUUAAUUGAAAAAUCAAUUUAGUUAAAUUCACCUGUCAAUGGUGUAAGUAUGAUCAUGCUGCUUAUACAGGGUUGCUGUAACCAUUGCCUAUGCCGGAUCAUGUGUGACAGCACAUAUCAAUGGACUUUAUAGAGGGUCUACUCCUUUCGAAUGGCAAACAAGCUAUCUUUGUGGUGCUGGAUCGUUUGAGUAAAGCUGCACAUUUUAUACCCUUAUCACAUCCAUAUACUACCAGCACAAUAGCUCAAGCUUUUAUGGAUCAUGUUUUCAAGCUAUAUGGUUUUCCAUCCUCUAUAACAAGUGACAGGGAUUCAAUCUUCCUCAACAAAUUCUGGCAGGAAUUAAUGGCAUUCUAGGGUGUGCAAUUGCAACUAUCUAGUGCCUAUCACCCUCAGACGGAUGGACAAACUGAGGUAGUCAAUAGGUUUUUAGAAACCUAUUUGAGGUGUAUGUUUGUUGAUUCUCCUCAACAAUGGUCUAAGUGGUUACCUUUGGCAGAAUGGUGGUACAAUACCACUUUCCACUCAGCUAUUCAGACUACACCGUAUGAGGUAGUAUAUGGUCAGCCCCCUCCUAUUCAUCUACACUAUUUGCCUGGUGAAUCAAAGGUGCAAUUGGUGGAUCGCAGUUAGGCAAAAAGAAAGGAGAUGUUGAAGGUUUUAAAAUUUCAUCUCCAAAGAGCACAAAAUAGGAUGAAACAGGUGGCUGAUAAGCAUAGGUUUGACAAGCAAUUUUUUGUUGGAGACUUGGUUUAUGUAAAAUUGCAGGCCUAUAGGCAAGUGUCCAUUGCUCCAAGAGCUAAUGAGAAGCUAGCACCUAAAUACUUUGGGCCAUAUCCCGUGAUUAGUAGAAUUGGAGAGGUUGCCUAUGAAUUGAAGCUGCCUGAUCAUGCAAAAAUUCACAAUGUCUUUCAUGUUUCACAACUUAAGAAGCAUAUUGGUCAAUUCAUUCAUUCUCCAACACUACCUGAUUUUAUUCCUAAAGCUACAGGGCCUAAAGAACCAACAACAAUACUGGAUCCAAUGAUAUUGAAAAGAAAGGGACAAGCUGUCACAAAAGUUUUGGUUCAAUGGAAACAUCAACUUCCAGAGGAUUGGGAGUUCUAUUAUGACUUGAAGAGGAGGUUUCCACAGUUCGAUUCUUGAGGACAAGAAUUUUGUAAAGGGAGGGCUAUGUUAGGGAAAUGCAGUUACUCAUGUUAUUACUAAUAUAGCCUUGAUAGUUGUAAUUGAAAUCUAGAAUUGGUUGUUAGUUAGUUAGUUACUUGUUAUAAAUGGAGAUUUGUUGGUCAAGUUAGGCAGCUAUUGUAAAAAACUAUACUUUUGAAUCCUCCUCAUUGUAAUUGAUUCUAUAAUCAAUAAUAUUCAGUUUGGAUUUCUUUCUUCCCAUAGGAAUUCCUGGACAAAUUUCAGUCUAAUUCUUUGAAUCAUUGCAUAAAUUCCUAGGAUUUACUCUAUUUCCUAAACACCCAUAACAAUAAAUCAUCUUAGUUUCAAAAUAUAUAAAACAAAACUAUGAGUGUAUGUUUAAUUUGAAUUACCGAGAUAAACAUUUCACAUUCAUUCAUCAAAAUAAGAGAUACAAUCACACCCCUCGAUUGAAAAGAAUUCAAGCAUAGUUCGAAUUAAAAAAAGCUAUCAAUCGAUUACUAUGAAUGGAUUAAUCAAUCCUACCCCUAAUCCCAAAUCAAUUUCCCAUAUCUCAACAUAAUCACGCAUCAACUAAGAAAAUACAAAAAAUAGAAAAAGGGAGAAAGACACAAUUCAUAAAUAUGAAAGUUAAAGCAUGGAGGAACUCAAAUUUACGAUAGGCUUGAGACCUUGGAUUGAAAGGACAUUAGCUCUCCGUGAAAAUCUUCUUUGGAUGGUUUGAUUAAGCAAAAUAAGAAAAGAGAAGAAAGGGGAAAAAGAAAGAGAAGAGAGCACACAAACUUAUGAAAUUAAAAUGAGUGUAAUAUAAAGUGUUGUGUGUUUUUACAAAGGAGUAAAGGUAUUUAUUAUAAAAGAGAGAGUGAAAUUCGUAGGUCUUUCAACAUUGACAAAAAUCCGUUCACUAAAAACACUAAUGGACCACUAAACACAAAAUAGGCCCAAAUAAUUCAAGUGCAGGACCAAGACUUUGUAGAUCCAGUUUGACCACUUACACCUUGGAAUCAGCUAAAGCUUGUAAAUAGAAAAUUGCAGAGCUUCCUCUUAUCUUUCCAGCAAGACCAAAACCAUCUCAACCGGUGCUCUGAGCAGAGAGUUAUAACCUGUACACUCAAACAAUGCCAAGAGUAGAAAAAAAAUACAAAAAUUAAGAAAAUCUGACACUUGGGCCCAAUGAUGCCCAACCUCACAAAACUCAAUUAAAAAGGUUCAAAACCAUCAUAAAAAUGUGUUUUAUAUUUUCAGGGUGAAAUAACUAUGCCUACUUGUUUUUCACAUGAUUUUUUUGCUGAAAUUCCACACGUGGUGAAGCUCACAGAUCCUGCUUCAAAUUUGUAACUUUUAUGGACUUAAUGAGGGAGGUUGGUUAAGUAUAUUUAUUGUCCGGGUCUAAAUAAAUAUGUGACUUUUAUGGACUUGCUGAGGGAGGUUGGUUAAGUAUGAUGUAUUUUAACAAAGAACAUGUUUAUGAAGAGUGUUAAAAACCAUUUGGGAGAGGAAAAAAAUAGUUUCCUUAAAUUCCUCAAUCAGAUUAUCAGAGUUAAUGGACAUGAAAACCCCAGUUCAAAUCUUUAAGUUGCAUUUUAUUUUGGACAUGUUUUGAUGAUAUCAAUGGAUCUGAUUUGAUAAAUUUUUUAACAUUGCUUCUUAUUUCUUAUUCAAAAUUGAUCUACUGUUAUUGGGAUAAAUGAAUAUUCAUAUAGUUUUGAGCUGCUAUGUUUGAGACAGACUGCAAUCACUGCAUUCCAGAUUAGUGGUUUUGAGUUUGCUAUGUUUCACCCUCCUCCAAAACAUUCAAAUCUGCAUUCCAAAGUCCUGCAAAGUUUAAACACCAGCUUUUUAAAAGAAUCCACAUCUACUAAAAGAGACUCAAUACUUUGCCAUAAGCCAAUACGAGUCCAAACCUAAAUGCUACUUGGACUAGUAAAGAUAUUAAAUGUAAUCUUAGGAUACCAAGUUUUACAUAAAUAAUAAUGCAUAGACUUUAAUAAAAUUCUACUCCACAAAGAUAUCAAUUUCAAAGACGUUCCUACAGCCCAAGAUUACUAAUCGUUAGUGGAAUCAUACCACAAAAUAGUCAUCAUUGGCGGCUAUUAUUGUUGUUAAAAGUAGUGUUGUAUAUUAUUGUUAUAUGUCGUUAUUAGAAUUAUCCAUCUUCUUAAGAACUUUAAGUGGUUAUAAGUUUGUAUCGUGAAACCAAUUACAUUGUCGAAGAAGGUUAAAUGGUAUAAUAAAAGAAUUUCUGCAAGUAUUGGUUCAAACUUCUUAAUUUUAUCUAAUGGAUCCUAAUAAUAUUAAAAAGAAAUUCAAAAGUAACAUCAAAAUUAAUUAGAAAUAGAAAUCUAGGCCAUAAUUUGUACACGUGAUUAUAUUCUAUUGGUCUACUUAACAAACGCACCGAAAUCUUUAAAAUGUUAGAGCAUAUGGAAGUAAACACCAUUUUUUUUAAUGUGACGUAUCUUAUAUUGUUGGGGUUUCUUUUCCCCCUUUUUUCUUUUAUUGCACUUAUCAGUUGCCCCUAUCAUAGAUAAUGAUAAGAGAUUUGCAACAAAAAAAAGAUAAUGAUAAGAGAUUUAUCAGAGAGAGAGAAAAUGAUAAGAGAAGUUUGUUCUUUCAAGCAAUUCAAAGUUCUUUAACUUGAACACAAGAAGCAAGUUGUGCCACUUGAGAAGAUGAUACGUGCUCAAUUUUAAUUUUUAAAUAAAAAAGAUUCUAAAUAUUGAGCCACACUUAUCCAUGACAUCAAUCAACUGUGACUGUGACCGCUUUAACACUUGAAUUUUUGUUGUUACAUAUUAAGAAAAUGAGUACUUUAACUAGUGAUUGAUAUUGUGUUGUUCACUUUUAAAAAAAUAUCGUUAUUGAUUUUUAUAUUUUGAAUAGGCACGCAAUUCCAUCCCUACAAGCUUUUUUAUAUACAUUUCGAGAAUCGGUCUUUCUAGUUUUAAAUUAAAUAAAUUCUUGGAUCUGUGGGGAGAAACAAUGUGAUUAGGUAAUCUAUAACGUUAGUUUUCAGCUUUCAAAAUGGUAUUUUAUUCUUAGUUAUAUUAUUAAUUUGAUUUGAUUAUUCCGCUCAAAAAUUGAUUUAAUCUUUCCAUUCAAAAUCUUUUAUACAUGUCUUUAUAAUUUUUAAAUUAGGCAAAAUAGUUAAUAUUAUAUUUUCAUAAUGUUAUUAUAAAUGAGAAGAAAACCUAAACAAUAAGAAUUGUUUAAAUUAUUUAAGAAUUAUAGAAACGUUUUAAUUAUUUGUAUAUAUAAAAGCUUAAUUAAUUUUUGACUUAAAGCAUAAGUGUUGAUUAGCCUUUAAUAUAUUUUACUAGACAUAUGACCUGAUCUCAUAUGCAUGCAAGCUUGUUAACAAGGCCGCACAAAUAAAAUUUUUACACUUGGGAAUAAAAUUCAAUAAUCCAAUCCAAAAAAAUCCAUUAUCCAAUGCCUUGGGCGGUGAUACAAACUACAAAGUCCUUAGAAUCCAGAAGAAGAAAAAACUCCUUAGAAAGAUUUAUCGUUGAAAUUGUGAAUAUUAUAUUUUUUUUUUCAGUGGAGACGGCGAUCCCAACUUUCUUUUUGUUUUGGGGCCAACUGUUGAUGGCUUCUUUUUAUUUUUCAAGACUAUUUUUUAGGACAUAUUGUUAGUUGCUUAUAAUCAAUCGAUACAAGUAAUAAUGAUUUAUAAUUUUUAACAAGUUGUUAAGAGUUUAAAUUUUAACUUUUUGAGGAUGAAAUAAAUGUAUUAGAAAGAUAAUACUUAUUUUAUGAUCUUAAAUACAAAUUAAUCAUUAUUUCUUUCAUAUCAAUAAUAUGAUAAAAAAACUGUUAGAACUUAGUGAUUUAUUGUUACAACAAUAUUCGUGCAUGAAUCCAGCACUAAAUAUAGAAUUUUUCUAUUUAUGUCACUAAUUAUGUAUAAUAUAUUAGGCUCUACUCAUAGGAUCAUACAACAAUAUUUAUGUCACAAUUAUGUAUGAAUGAUAAUAUAGCAUGUUUAAAAUAGAAAGUCAUACCCCUUUGGGGAUUGGUUUAGAAUUAUAUAUAUAUAUUUUAAAAAUGGCUCUUAAGGCGAGUAUUGGGACGGCCUAAUUGAACAACUAACCAUUAAAAGAAGGUCAAAUUGUAUUUAAGUAUACUUCACUCCACUUGUAGUCACACUUGCAUCUCUAUAUAUUUUAUUAUUACAAACUAUUUGCUAUAUAUAUAUAUAUAUUUGGGUGGAUUAAUUUCACUCUAAUACUAAAAUUGCAGAACAAGUGGAAUAAUGGGUAUCUGCAUAUCCGUUGCAGAAGAAGCUCAUGAUGAUGAUAAUGUGACAAUAUUUGAAGCAAGAAAGGUUCUAAAUGGGAGUCAGAGACUUUGCUCUGUUUACUCCAAACAGGGUAGCAAAGGACUCAACCAAGAUGCUGCCUCUGUUCAUGAGGUUUGUCUUACUGUUUCAUUACUUGCACAUGAAAUAAUUCACAAUAUUUUUUGUAAUUAUUUUUAUUUUUCACUUAUUUUUCAUUUUCUUGCGUUUAUGCAUCUCACAAGUAGUGGCUAAAUCAGAAGGGACAACUUAGUUGUUCCUUCUCUUAUGUAUUUUUUUUUAUGUUUAAUAAAAGGAGCAUAAAAUUUAUAUUAGAGAAAGACAUAUCCCUUUAUAAGUUUAAGAAAGACCACCAACUUUAGCAAAGAUUUAUAGUGGAGUUUAUUUGUCAUUUACCAAUAGAGAAAAUCUGAUAAUCAAACCAAAUUGCAAUUAGCGCGAGCAGAAGACUCGACUAGAUGUGUGAAUUAAUCUUAGCAUAUCUUAUGCAAAAAUGAUAUAUGAUUUUUAAAAUAAUUAUAAAAUUCAACAAUCUUAUCUUAUGUAAUAAACCAUAAAUGAAUGACAGAAAAACUAACACAUUCUAAAUGAAGUUCAAACACAUUAUUGCUUGUUUUAUUAGUCAGUCUUCUGUAACUAAUUAAGACUAUUGGAGCACAUAAAAUUAAUGAAACAUCCUUUUUUUUUUCUUAUCUUUGUCUGUGUUUUUUUUUCCCAAAAGGGUUAUGGGAUGGAGGAUGGAACAUUUUGUGGAGUUUAUGAUGGGCAUGGAGGGAAUGGACACAAAGUGAGCAAAAUAGUAAGCAGUCGUUUAUCUUCCCUCAUACUGGACCAAAAGAAUGUUCUUGAAAGGAUUGAUGAGAUAGAAAAUGGUUACAACAACACCACAAAAAAGCAUGUUAACUCAGUGAAAGAGGAAUUGCCUGCAAGGAACUUUCAGAAAUGGAAAGAAGCAAUUGUUAGUGCUUUCAAGGUGAUGGACAAAGAGGUGAAGCUUCAAAAGAAUCUAGACUGCUUUAGCAGUGGAACCACAGCUGUAGUUAUCAUAAAACAGGUAAAGAACCUUCCCAUUAGAUUCUGUAUUUAUGAGUAAAUUACAUUAAUACCUCCUUAGAUUUUUUCUAAUUAUACAUAAUCCUUUUCUUUGUUUAAUGUUUACAAUAAUCUUUUUUGUAGGGAGUGUGUAAUUAAUAUACAAGAAAAUAUAACAUACAAGGAAGUGUAUGUUUUCAAAUAUUAAAAAAGAAAAGAGUUAGUGUAGAUAUAGAAAAAAAGUGAUAUUAUGUGUAAUUAAAAAAAAAUAGAAGGUACAGUGUAGUUUGUUUUAUAUUAUUUGUGAUUUGUGAAAAGUACAUAAUGUAACAAUUGUUAAUACGCAGGGUGAAGGUCUUGUCAUAGCUAAUCUGGGUGACUCAAGAGCAGUGUUGGGAACAAUCUAUGAUGAAAAACUCGUAGCCAUUCAAUUGACCACUGAUUUGAAACCUGAAUUACCUCGUAAGACUCUUCUUAUAAACUAGCAUGCAGUUUCUUCUUUCAGUUUCAGACAUAACUUUUCUUGAGGUCUAAACCAGCAAAAAAAUCACUAGUUAGUUAGUUAACAUAGUAAGUGAAUUAACUGACCGAAGAUUAUUCUAACUUAAUAAGUAAUCAGGAUUCUUGAGCUUAAGUCUUGAAAAUACAACUACUAUCAUAACUAAUUGGAAAAAUAGUUUUACUCCUUAUGAAAGAGAGCUACAAUUAAUGGUUACACCUUAUGAAAAUACAACUACUAUCAUAAAUAAUUGAAACUAUUUGAUUUAAGAAGAAAAAAAACUUAAAUUUGGCAGUCAGCGCGGUCCUUUCAUUAAGAAAGAAAAUAAUUUAAUUCUUUACUUUAACAACUACCAGUUAAUUUGAUAUUUAAUUUCGGUGAGUUCAUAAGCUAAUUUAGUUUCUUACCUUGGAGUAAUACUGUUUGGUACAAAAGAAAUUAAAUCAAAAGACAUAGAACUCAAUCUCGUGAUUUCCAUUAAACACGUGAGUUUACUUUUACUUCUUUAACUUUCAAAUAAUAAAUAAAAAAGUGUACACAUAACCUCUUGUAGAAUUUGCACUAUUAUUUUUCGUUCUAAAUAGACCUAUGAUUGUCAAAUUCAGACACUAAAUUGGAUGAUUUAAAGAACUAAGUUGACCAAUGUAUCAAUUUGAAGGAUUAAAAUAAAGUUAGGGACUUUUUCUUAAUGUUAAUGAUUAAGAGUAUGUUUGAUUUGUCAUUGAGUGACCUCAAACGUCCGUUUAGUUGUAGCUCUCUCUCAUAUAUUUCUGUGUUUGGUUUGUUAUUGAGUGACCUCAAAUGUCCGUGUAAUUGUAGCUCUCUUUCAUAUACUUGUCCUUUCAACGGUCUUGGAACGUGUGCUGUUAAUAAAUCAACACACUAAAUUGAUAGAUGAUAUCAACAUAUUAACUAUUAUAUAUUAAAACAAUAUUUUAUUUGAACUCAAAUGAAGCAAAAUUUUCCAAUCUAUUUCUUUUUCUCAUCUUGACUAUUGAUGAUUUUGAUCUAAUUUACAUGCACAAUAGUUAAAACACAUUCAAUUUCUUCUCACUAACAGGAGACUUGCAACAAAAGCCACUCAAUCACUUUUUCAAUAUGAUAGUCACGAGUCAUAUCAUACGGUAUAUACCAACUUAUAUUAUUCCUAUAUUUAAACCUGUACUAGUAGUUUUAAGAAGCAAAUUAACGAUGUAGACGUGUCUAAACUACUAAAACCAAGUACAUUAAUUUGAGAGGUAGAAAGAUUUAUGUGUAAUAAAUUGGAAUGCAGGAGAAGCAGAAAGAAUAAGGAGGUGCAAUGGUUGUGUGUGUGGGUCGAAUGAAGAACCAGAUAUCCAGAGAGUGUGGAUGCCCAACAAUGAGAAUUCACCUGGCCUAGCCAUGUCUCGAUCUUUGGGAGAUUUCCUGCUCAAAGAUCACGGUGUCAUUGCCAUCCCUGAUGUUUCCUAUCACCCUCUAACAUCAACUGACCAAUUCAUUGUUCUUGCAAGUGAUGGGGUAAGUCAUACGUGAUAUUUGCAUGAUACCAAAGUGUCAUUUAAUUUUUGCAUGUGAAGAUUCAAAAGAAAAUUUAACAAAAAAGAUUUACAUCAAUAAAUCAUGAGCAAUCACACAAAAAAAUUUGACAUCACACUUUAACUCAAAGAAAAAAAAGAAUAAAAACAUCAACAAAAAACUUAAAUAACUUGAAAAAUUGUUCAGCCAACAUGACAGACUAUACGGAUUUUAUAAUACUAUUAAUUAUAAACUAGUAGUGGACCCCGGACCCGUGCAUUGCAUGGUUUUAAAAAAAAAACAAAGAAAGAGAAAGUAGAAUAAUGAGUAAAAAACCUUAAGUAACUUAAAAUUUGUCUGGCCAACAUGUAGCGAUGGCUGGACAGUUUUUAUAAUACUAUUGAUUAAAAAAUCGUAAAUGAAAGUCACUUAAAUAUGAAAUGAAACCCAUAAAUUUAUGUUUCAGAAUUUAACAAAGUGUACUAAGAAAUGUAAUACGUCUCAAUAAAAAAGUUAUUUGUGUGAAAUUAAUUAAUGAAGUAUCAUUUUUGCACAAGCAUUUUUUGAAACUUUUUUGUUCUUUUCCUGUUUAUAGGUGUGGGAUGUACUAAGCAACAAUGAGGUUGCAUCAAUUGUGUGGAGUGUAGACAGUGAAGAGGCAGCAGCAAUGGCAGUAGUGGAAGCAGCCACUGCUGCAUGGAAUGAGAAGUAUCCUUCCUAUAUGGCAGAUGACUGCACCGUGGUUUGCCUCUUCCUGCACAAGAAAUCACAACUUACUAACUUAAGUGCCCCUUAACUUAUAUUCUAGACAUAAAAGCCUUGCUAGUUGCCUCAAAUAAUGCAUUGUAAUACGGCCACAAUUAUGCUUAUUGAGAACUAGGAUUCAUUGUUAGUUGCUUCUUCCUGAAUCUGAAGUUGAUGUUGAAUUAAAGCAAACUUCUGCAUUUGACAUAAAAGCCUUGCUAGUUGCCUCUUCCUGCAGAAUACAAUUGAUUUUAAAAUAUAAUUUAUGUUUUAGAUGUUCUUAUUUUAAAAGAAAUUCCCAAUGUAUAAUUUUUUUAGUCAAAUGCAGAAGUAUGCUUUAAUUCGAUCAACAUCAACUUUAGAUUCAAACUCAACUUAACAAGAAAAACAAAAUGUGAAUAUUCACCUAAAGUCAUAAAGUUAUACUAACUGAUAUUUCAAUAUGAUUUUACACAAUCUAAUAUGAAUCCAAACACAUAAACAAUACCAAUCACAUUAAUCUCUAAAAACUAAAUUACCAUACAAUAUAUGCUUUUCGUCCGUCAAAUUGAUUCAUAUCACACUUAACUAAAGAAUUAAUUUGACUUGACAGUAAAGUGCAUAUUUUGUGGACUUAAAUGAUGAUUUUAUCUUCCAGAAGCUAACACUAUCGAUGAUUAAAUUUGGUUAUUUACUUCAUCCAAAAUUGGGCAUGACCAAAGUCUCCCACAUCGCUUCUAUAAUCUUAAAUUCUUACUUUUUAAGUGAAACUCUGGGAGGAUUCAGCUGGAAAGAAAUAAUUCCCGAUUCAUAAUCCAUAAGAAACUAAUGCAACUCUUCAUAAGAUACUAAUCAGACACUUUCGACCAACAAUAUAACUUUCAUUAUAAUAUUUUCUAUUAUCAUUUAAGUGUAUCAGAAAGCUUAUGCUAUGAUAGUAAAUACCCCUCCUUUCAACACAAAUGACAAAAUCCUUCCCAACAAAAUUCAAAUAGAAAAUACCGCUCCAUCUGUGAACUUGUUUCGCAGGCAGAUGAAGAAGCAAGGGUGAAAGAGCAAAAAUGAGAGAGAACUUUAUAAAGAAGGCUGCAAUGUAAGAUGUGAAAAUGGAGAAUGAGGAAGUGUUGCAUCAGCAGACUGCAAUCUAUGAUGAGAGAAAAAAAAAACUGUGACAGGAUGAAGGUCUCUUUGUCAGGAAACAGGUAUCCUUAAUCUGUCAUGAACCUGAUGACCGCUAGCAAAUGUAUGUUGGGAAUUCAAGGGGAGUAAAGACCAGAGAGAUUUACAUCAAUGAGUCAUAAGUAAUCGCAUAAGAAAACUUGACACCACACUUUAACCCAAAAUCUUAAGACUCAAGUUUAUGGGUCUUCUACUCACUUUAUGGUGCUCAACCUUUCCACUUCUAUCGUGAGAUUUCAUCUCACACUUGUACUCCAACAAUCUAGAGCUACCAUCCCCUUGAGAAGAAUCCUCUUUCUUUUGCGCAAGUGGUUGCUUCACAUUUGGCUGCCUGAAUUGCUUUUGCAUUAUUAUAAACGAGAAACUAAUUAUUACAAAGCAAAUGAUGAUAUGAUGAUAUGAAUGACCUUGGUUAGGGGAAGACCUAUAUUUAUAUAUACCUCUCACUAUAUGAACUGAAAAAGAAAGAAAAGAGUAACAUUUCUUCCAAUCCAAACUCACUGAAUGUCUUCCUUAUCAUCCUCCCUUUGCCCAUCACUUAUUAAUCAGUCCCCUCUAACCGAAAUUCGAUUCUUCUUGUCACCUACUUUCUCCUCCCACCACAUAGAGUUAAUGCAGUUCUGAAUAUCCCUUUCCUUGUAUACGACUAGAUUCACUACCUUCAUCAUAGGGUCACAAAUAACAAUUUCAAACCCCUUGCUCAAGUUCUAGACGGUAGGUGCAUCCAUAACAAACUCCACCGUUCCAUUGAAUACAAGGAACAUAAAUAUAGAAAGAGAAGUGCUUAAGCACUAAAAACAGAAAGGUCAAUCACACUCCUCAAACUCCUUUGCCUUAUUCAUUAUCUCUUUGUAAGCAUUUGGUUCUCGAACCUUAAUGAUACUCCACAAUACACCACCCCCUGUUCGAAAUCGCCUACCAUCAACAGUCUUCUGGCCUCCACAAGCCUGUAUAGCCUCCACCUGUGACUUUCACACUUGAUUAUUCAAGUUUAUGACAUGUGUAUCAAAUGGGACAGAUAGGAAAAGAAUACCGAAAACAAUUAAAAAUAUAAAACAAGUCCAUUCAUUAUGAGAUUCAAGUCAGCAAUAUCUCAUUUAUAAAUAAUACAGAAAUAAUGUACAUCAUCCACUGCGAUUCAUAAAGAGUAUAAGCAGCAAACAAUCUCAUUCAUUAAAUCAAAAUGAAAACAGUAGAAACAAAUGCAGAGAUCCCGGAGAGUUGCUAUGAGUUAUAUUGUGGCCCUCCUGGUCAUAAGGAAAAUGCUUGAUGAUACCUAGCAUGUUCAAAACCAACAUAUUAUCUUUAAUUCACCAAUUUUCCCUUGAGCUAUUCGGCUAUAUAGAAGAAACUAAAGAAUGAUACAACUACAAUGUUAUGAAAUAAAGAUCCUGCCAUAUGAAAUUUAGAUAGCCCUCAGUAAAAUAAUGUUAUGCAUAUCUAGAGAGAUCCAAUUUUGGCUCUGACUUUGUCAGCUGCUCCAUUUAGGAGAGCAAGAUAAAGAGAAGAAAUAGAUAUCAACCUUCAAAACAAUUAAAUAAUGGAACUGGUUCAUCAGCCAGGAACAUCAAAGCUCAGAUUAAAUCUGCAAUGUUAGAUACAACAUUGUACACAUCAGAAUCAUGAAUGGUUGUAUGGUGCAAUGAAGAGUGGAUAAGCAUAAUCAGCUCAAGGCUGAUCCAAAUCAAGUAGAAUAUUGUUAUGAUUGAUCAAUAAUCAAUCACUGGACUUCGAGGGCCAGACCUCCCAAGCACGAAAAUAAGAAGAUAAGUAUUGAAUUCGAAAUGUUCAUCUGCCUUCUUUCAUUAAAUGAGUAUUUAUAAUGAAAUUACAAUAACAGAAUUUGUAUUUUUGUGUGGACAGAUCCUAACAGAAAGGGAAUAUUCUUAGUAAUGGCAGAUAAGGAUCAAGGGCUAUUCCCCUGAUAUCCAGCUCAGCAAUUCCAGCUCAUCAUGGCUCCUUUCAACGGUUGUUAACGGCUAGUGAAGUCCUUCAGGUAGGUAGGUGCUCUGAUUCUCCUUUUGGGUCUCGUUUCUAGGUUGCUAUCAUUCCUCACUGCUUCCGGAAGCACCUUGUCCUCAAGGUGGUAAUCAGCUCGCAACUGAUCCCAAUUUUCCCAGGUAGUAUCAUCUGGGGAAAGCCCCUGCCACUGCACAAGGACUUCGAGUGCAGAAUCUUUGUUUCGACGAGUAUUUAAGAAAGUCAGUGGUUGAAUCAGUAAAUGGUCAUCGUUCGAAAGUAUCGGUAAAGUGCUGGGGUGAGGGCUGGUAUCCAUCUCAGUGGAAUGGUACGACUUCAAGAGAGAGCAGUGGAAGACGGGGUGUAUCCUAGCUUCUUCUGGUAACUGUAGUUUGUAGGCCGUAGACCCAAUGCGUUCUAUGACCCGAAAGGGCCCAUAGAAUCUUUUAUUGAGCUUCGAAUAAGCACCUGUUUGACCCAAGAUCGAAACCUGCCGGUGUGGUCGAAGUUUGACCAAGACCAUGUCACCCACCUGGUAUUCAACUUCACGACGCUUCUUAUCUGCAAAGUACUUCAUGCGACUUUGAGCCUUUUCCAGCUUCUUUUUUAUUUAAGUGAAAACAGCUUCACGGUCUUUGAGCAUAGUAUCCACAACAUCAACAUUAGAGUCUCCUACCAAAUAUUGCAGAAAAUUAAAGGGUUUCUUUCCGAAUGUGAUCUCAUAUGGAGAGAGACCAGAGCUUGAGUUCCAGGAAGUGUUAUAAGACCACUCCACCCAACCCAGCAGUUUGCCCCAUGAAGAAGGCCUCUUAUGGACAAAAGCUCGAAGAUACUGUUCAAUCACCCGAUUUAAGACUUCUGUUUGCCCGUCUGAUUGUGGGUGAUAUGCAGAGCUUAAGCGCAGCUUGGUACCACUAAGGCGGAAAAGCUCUUGCCAAAAUUUGCUGAGAAACAGAGGGUCGCGAUCGAAUACUAAGCUCCGAGGCAUCCCAUGAAGUUUUCCGACAAGGUCCAUAAAGAGAAUGGCCACCGUGUACGCCGUAUGAUGUGUUGGGAGCAUGCCCAGAUGGAUUCCUUUUGAGAAUCGAUCUACAAUGACCAAGAUGGAAGUAUUUCCUCGAAAUGUCGGCAGCCCCGUGAUGAAAUCGAGGGACAAGUCCUCCCACGGCCGACAAGGCACCGGCAAGGGACACAACAGUCCUGUCGGUUUGCGUGUUUCGUACUUCGUCUGCUGACAAUCCAGACAUGAAGCAACGAAUCGUUCCACAUCCUUGCGAAUUCCUUGCCAAUAAAAAUUCUCUGUUAGUCUGGCCAGCGUCUUUGUGACACCCAUAUGUCCCCUUGUGGGUGUACAAUGGUACUCCUGUAGCAGAGUGUUCACAAUGGGCAUAGUGGAAGGGAGCCAAAUACGGCCUUUGUGAAGGACGAAGUCCUUGGUGAUUGAGAAAUCAGGAUUUUGAUCAGGUUGAGCUAUAAUGGUUUGUCGGAGUUGAAUGUAGUCUGGGCAUUGCUCCAAUUGGGCCUUGAGUUCCUGCAAAAAUGUGAAACAGGGCACUGAUAACAAGAGAAACAGCUCAGGAAUUGGUUCAGACACUCGUGACAACACGUCAGCAACAACAUUUGAACUCCCGGAACGAUAUUGUAUGUUGUAAUCGUAGCCCAUGAGACGCGCGAGGUACUUCUGUUGCUCAAGUGUUUGAAUCACCUGAGUAAGAAGCUCUUUUAAACUUCUGUGGUCUGUGAGAAUUGUGAAGCUCCAGCCAAGGAGGUACUGGCGCCACCUCUUGACGGCGACCGUGAUUGCAAAUAGCUCCCGAAUGUAAGUAGAGGCCUGAAGGAGUUUUGGGGGAAACAUUUUGCUGAAAUAGGCAACUGGGUGACCCUGUUGACUUAAAACUGCGCCCAUGCCCGUUCCUGACGCAUCUGUCUCUACGGUGAAGGGGAGAUUGAAGUCCGGUAAUCGUAGGACAGGGGAGGAAGUCAGCAUCUGUUUGAGAGUAGUGAACGCGGCAGCAGCUUCUGGAGUCCAAUGAAAAACUUCAAAUGUGAGAAGUUUGGUUAAAGGCGCAUCAAUUGAUGCAUAUCCACGAAUGAAUCUUCUAUAAAAUCCUACAAGCCCCAAAAAAUUGCGGAGUGCACACGCCGAUCGUGGUUCUGACCAUUGCUGAAUAGCCUGCACCUUAGCUAACACAGGUGCUACUCCUCGAGAAGACACCACGUGACCGAGGUACUCCACUUGAGGUUGAGCGAAGGUGCAUUUUGAGAAUUUCAAAACAAAAUGCUCCUACAAUAACACCUGAAAUGCUUGUUCUAAAUGGGAAACGUGAUCUUCAAGUGUAGCACUAUAAAUAAGAAUGUCAUCAAAAAAUACAAUUAUGAAUUGAUGAAGGAAGGGGCGGAAUAUGGUAUUCAUUGUAGCUUGGAAGGAGGAAGGGGCGUUACAAAGCCCGAAAGGCAUCACCGUGAAUUCAAAAUGCCCAUGAUGGGUUCUGAAAGCUGUUUUGCUGAUGUCACCCUCCGACAUUAGGAUCUGGUGAUACCCCUGUAGUAGAUCUAGUUUUGAAAACCAAGCUGCUCCUCCUAGCUCGUCGAGUAAUUCGUCUAUUGCUGGUAUUGGAAAAUGAUCCUUGAUCGUUAGAGCAUUGAGUUCUCUGUAAUCAACACAGAACCUCUAGGUUCCAUCAUGCUUGCGUACCAAUAGCACAGGGGAUGAAAAUGGGCUUGUACUGGGCCUGAUGAUCCCGGUUCGCAACAUGGAGCUGACCUGAGUCUCAAUUUCGGCCUUUUGAUAAUGUGGAUACCUAUAUGGGCGGACAUUCACGGGCUCAGAGUUAGGAACAAGGUGAAUAUGGUGGUCUGUGGGUCGUGAGGGUGGAAGAGUCUGGGGAGGUUGAAAUAGGGAAGCAAAUUUGGUCAAUAAGGAUUGAAUGUCUGGGGGAUAGGUGGAGGUGUUCGAAGGUGUUUCGAGGGAAGUAACCGAGAGGAGGUAGCAAGCACUAGGAUCAUAGGUUUGAACCAGGUGUCGGGCUUGAGGAACCGACAAUGGUUGAAGGGCAGAGGUGUCAUCUCCUUUGAGUUCAAUGGUACGGCCUUCAUGCAUGAACUUCAUUGACAAAGUGGUGUAGUCAGUGAGGAUGGGUCCCAGGGACCACAACCACUGUACCCCAAGGACUACGUUCGCGCCACAUAAGGGUAAGACGUGGAGGUCAAUGAUGAAGUGAAUUCCUUGAAUGACUAUUGAGACCUCAGUGCAAAUUUGGUUGCAAUGGAGGUAUUGGCCAUUACCAACCAUGACCGUGAGGGGUGUGGUGUCACUAGGAAAGAGGCCCAAUUCUGGAAGCAUGGCAUCUUGGAUGAAAUUAUGGGUACUACCCCCAUCCACCAAGAUUAAAACCUGUUUUGAAGCCACUAAACCUGAGAAACGGAGUGUUUCUGGUGCUAAUGGACCCGUGAGAGAGUGAAGAUUAAGUUGGGCUUCAUUCGGGUCAUGCGGGUGAUGCGGUUCGGGUGAAAGGCCCAAAGGCACAGCUUCUUUAGGAGAACGCUCCUCCUCAUCCACAAUUAGGAGAUUAACCCUAGCUUGGCAGCGGUGGCCGCGAUGAUAGCGUUCAUCGCAUUUGAAGCAGAGGCCUCGCUCCCUGCGAGAGGCCAGUUCGUCCGGCGUCAGGCGUUUCAACGGCAUCGGCGAGAGGGACUGUACCGAGAUGGUGCGUGGUGAGGGGGGAACAGAAAUCGGGGUUGGUGGAACCAUCGAGAAGGAAGGUGACCGAUUUCGGAAGGAGCGGCGGUUCUCAACAAGUUUCUCUUCCUGCAAGCGGGCAAGGCCCGCCGCUUGGACCAGCGUUAAUGGUUGUAACGCUUGGACCUCGCGGCGGAUGUCUGGAUUCAGUCCUGAAACGAAACAGCUGAGGAGAAAAUGCGGUGGAAGACCCACCACGCGAUUGGCGGUAUCUUCGAACUCUGAAAGGUAAGCUGCAACGGUGGUGCGCUGUGUCAAUUUAAACAGGGUUCCGGUAGGGUCGUCAAAUUGUGAAGACGUGAACCUUGUUUGGAGAGCAUGAAGGAAACCUGCCCAAGUCGAGAGUUGGCCGUUGCCGACCAUCCAUUGGUACCAGGCCAAGGCACGUCCGUCCAUGUAAAAGGACGCGAUGGUCAAACGCUCGUGUUCAGGGGUAUGGUGAUAUUCAAAAAACUGAGUAAUUUUGAAUAUCCAGCCUAAGGGGUCCGUACCAUCAAAUCUGGGAACAUCAAGUUUGACGCGGGGUGGUUGGGAAGCAGAAGGUGAAGGUGAUGGGUUAUGAGGAAAAGAGGUGGGCAAGGAAUCAAGGGAUUUGGAGGUAGAAAGGGUGGUGAUUAGGGUAUCUAAUUUGUGGGUCAUGGUUUGGAGGCUUUCACUAAGGCUCAUCUGAUGGGUAGUCAAAAUGUUAUGAUUGAUCAAUAAUCACUCACUGGACUUCGAGGGCCAGACCUCCCAAGCACGAAAAUAAGAAGAUAAGUAUUGAAUUUGAAAUGUUCAUCUGCCUUCUUUCAUUAAAUGGGUAUUUAUAAUGAAGUUACAAUAACAGAAUUUGUAUUUUUGUGUGGACAGAUCCUAACAGAAAGGAAAUAUUCUUAGUAAUGGCAGAUAAGGAUCAAUGGCUAUUCCCCUGAUAUCUAGCUCAGCAAUUCCAGCUCAUCAUGGCUCCUUUCAACGGUUGUUAACGGCUAGUGAAGUCCUUCAGGUAGGUAGGUGCUCUGAUUCUCCUUUUGGGUCUCGUUUCUGGGUUGCUAUCAAAUAUCAACUCUCACAUUCCCUUACAAUAGACAAGCAGAAGCCACAUCUCUGUUUGAGUUAGGAAGAUAUAAAAAAGAAACAAAUAAAAAAAGGAACAAUUUAUUUCAAAAUACAGCAAUUUACAUUCUUGAUGGAGAUUAAAGAAAGAGAGGCUAGAGAGCCGGUGACAAGCCAAGAAUAUGAAUAUCCAUAAAAGUAUCAAUAGCACUGAAUUGAUGGUGUAGAGAACCAUUAUGGCCAGCCAACGAUGAUAGAAACCUAAAAAGAAAACAACCAUGACAUUUCAUUGAAAGUUGUAUAGACCAAGUAAAAAGAAAACAAGCUUUCAACAUGAAAGCAACAUUGCAAUGCAUGAUAGGGGGCUCCAAUACCCAACUUGCAAAGGUUGCAUACAUCUAUCUUUCACUUUCCCCAUUAGAUGGGAGCCUCAUGCACUUGGCCUUUCAUUAUUUACAUGGAUAAGGUAAGAGCAAUGAACUAUGCUUCAAUUCAAUGAUAACGUGGAUCCGCUUUAGCCAGUGUACCAUAUAGCAAUGAGAGAGAAAAAUCUAGGUUAGCCCCAUUAAUCAAGUGGGUCCCACUAGAACCCUAUUUUUUUUUCCUCUCCUACUGUAGGUGCAACUGCUGUAGAGAAACCAGGGGGGGAUGUGAUUCCAUUGAAGAAUCACUUUAGCCAUGAGAAAAUGGCCAGUGCAUAUUAAUCACGUGUUUGGUUAAUUUUGGGUCUGUAUGAUUUAAACUUUAGUAAAAUUGAUGUCUAAAGAAUAUGUUAAAAAAAUUGAUUUGCGGUUAGAAAUGAAAUUUAAAAGUGAGUUUAGAAUAAUUGGUUUCUGUUUGGAUGAUAAAGUAGAAUUAUUUUUCAAGCAUAAACAUGAGUAUACUUUUAAAAAAUGUUUGGGUUGUAUAUCUAGAAUCAAUUUUACAUUUUUGAAAAGGACAAUAAUUUUCUCUUAAUCCUAAAUCAACUCUGCUCAAUGUUACCUGUGGCAUAACUCAAGUACUCCUAAAGUCAUACUGUACACAUACUGUACUGAGUAGGUGACUGUAUUUAUGUUGUUGGGUACUCGUAGAUACUCCUAAGUCCUAGGUCAAAUGUUGGAAAAAAUAAGCUUUGAUAAUUUGAUUCCUUAAAAGAUAAGUAGAACUUGAAACCAAAUCCCAAAGGAAUGAUUGGUCGUGUAUGGUGCUGCAAUUUCCUAACUUGAAUCCAUUGCAUUGAAAUUUCACAACCAUCCUCUAUCUUUUCUUAUGAAGUUGUGCUUAUUAGUCAUUUAUACAAUCUAGUUAUGGUUAUAUAAAAUUGUAUAUUUAUUUUCUUCUUUAGGUAUUCUUACGAGAAAAGUCAUAAAAGUAAUCAUGCAUAAAUAUGAUAGGAUUGAGUUUUGUCUCUUCCAACAAAAUUUUCUCCAUAAAUAUCACCAGAAAAUCAAACUCAUCUCAGUAUGCUCAAUCAACUUACCCCUAUCCCCCUAUCCCGUGCUCAUAUCCUUGCCAGUUGCAACAUAAGUGGCAAUCAUGGUUUUCACAGGAAACAAACAGACCCUUAUAAAAUAAAAAGACAUUUCUAGGGACGAGAAUCAUAAAAUUUUUAACUCAUCAGAAAUUCCAUUCAUAUUACUCACAAUAUCAAAACACUUGGAAGAUAGCUUAUAGAAUGUUCUCCCCAUUCUCCAUAGGAAAACACGCCACAACUCUAAUAAUCUCUACCUAGCCCUGUCUCUCUGUAUUAUAUAUCUCAGUCUUUCAAUUGAUGCCGCCGCUCUGUGUUGAUAUCGCCGACUUAGCGUAAUUACGCAUACCUCCUCAAUGCUUUAGCGUUAAUUAGUUAUAAUCAUGGUGUUAAAAAAUGAAAUGAGAAAAUAGUUUGAAAAUUGUAACUCAUACAGUAAAGAUUUUGCGUACUAUCAUCAUUUUUUAGCUUAAAAAUUAAGUUUUAAACAAUUCAAUAUUUUAUCUAAAAAAAUUAACAUUUUAGAUUUGAAUUUAAUUUUUAUAUUCGGUUGGUAUUAAAAAUUUUAAUACAAAAUUUAAUAUAAUUUAAUUAUGUUAUCUUGUCAUCUUUUUCACUAAUGCUAAUAAGAUGAAUUCUUAUAGAAUAUUUUACUAUAAAUUAAACACUUAAAAUUUACACUAAUUCCAAUAAAAGUUGUCAUAUAAUUAAAAAUAUCAUUUUUUUAUUAUAAUUCAUUAAAAAUAUUAUAUAUUUAAGAUCAUUUCUAAUUGAUAAAUUAAAUUCUAAAACAUAUACCUAUUUUUUCUGUACCUUCCCAGUUGCUUUAUUAAUUAAAUUAGUAAUUUUUAUAAAUAAAACAUAUUAAUGUAUAAAUAUAAUAUAUAAAAUAAAGAACGGAUAUAUAUAUAUAUAUAUAUAUAUAUAUAUAUAUAUAUUUUUUUUUUUUUUUUUCAAUUAAGAAAAGUGUAAGUAUAUGAAAAGGUUUAAAAGGAUAUGAAAUAGGGUAGGAAUGAAAACUACUAGAAGAUGCUGCUAAACAUUUGCAUUCUAAGUCUAAACAUUUUUAUUGAUCUGUUAUUUGUCUGAGCUGCUGUUAAACAUGAAAAAUUGUAGGUUGUAUUCUUUUUUUUUUAAAGGAGUUAAGUUGUAUUCUUUAAUGAGUUCAAAACUUUAUUCUUCAUAUAUUUCAUAAGAUGGUGACUAAUUUUUAUAUAUAUUCUCUUCAUAUUUCUUUUUCUUUCAUUGACACAAAUGGGAUAAGGAUGAAAUGGAAAAUUUUGAUGGUACUUGAUGGACAUAACUAACUUGAUGGACAUAAAGUUGUAAGUGGACUAAUUUCUUAUUUAGAUCCUUUUGUGGUUUGUCAAUCCUAAUUUUACUUAUUUGAUAUAUGACACACUAAAUUAGAUUUUUCUUGUCAUUUAUUAGUAUAGGUGAUGAGAAAAUAAUAUAUCAAUGAAGUAAAUAAGGAUGUAAAUAAAGUAUUUUUUAUUUUAUCAAAUUUUUUUAAGUAGAAUACAUAUUCUUUAUUUUGUUAUUAAUUAUUUUUAUUUUAUUAUUUUCCUUCUUGUUGAGGAUUCGAAAGGAAUAAAAGUAUGAAAAAAAUUUAAUCACAAACAAAUCAUACAAGUGAACUUAACAUUAUACUUCAAAUAAAAAAUUUAAGGUAUUAAUUUAUGAAUCUUUCUCACUUAUAAGUUAUUCAACUCAUUUAUUUUUAUCCAAUGUAAGAUUUUAUUUUGACACUUUUAUUCAUUUAUAGAUUGUUGACAUUGAUGAGCAAGAGCAUUUGUGGCACCAUGUGGCAUUUUGCUCUUCCUCUUCCCCUUCCCCUUUCUCCAUUUAGAACUAUAGGAUUGCCAUAUGUUAGGUGCUAUAGAAAGAGGGUUAAAAAAAGGGGAAGAAAACAUAUAUUAGAAAAGGAUAAAAAAAAUGUCAUUCAUUGAUUUUUUUAUUUAAAAAGCUGACAGUUCUAAAACACUCUCCCACAAUGGAAGAUAACAAUAGUAUUAAAAAUAAUUGGACAAUAAUAGUAUUAUAGAAAAAAAUAACAAUAAUUGAACAUUUUCAAGAGCUUAUAGAAAAAAAAAUACUUAGUAGAAUAUUCAAACAGCAUUAGGCGAAUAUUUUUAGUUUUUUUUUAGUUAUUGCAACUAACGUGAAACUUAUCUGAGACAUAACAAUUCCUAUGAUCUCAACAGUGAAAUUCUUUUUAAAUAAUUAAGAAGGAUAUAUGACUAUUUUGUAAUUUAAUUCUAAAAAAAUAAAAAAUUUCAUUUUCUCAAAAUGUGUAAGAUUUGUAGCAAUUAGAUCAAAUUGGUUGUAAAAAAAUUAUAAGCUAAUGUAAAAUUGGUUCAUAAACAUUAUAAUUUAAAGAUAAAAUACUUUUAUCUAAUUAUUGUAUUUUUUAUACAUUCAUGAAUUAUGAUAGAAAAAUUUAUUCUUUCAAAGAUUAAGUUAUUAUCAAAUUGCACAUUUAAUAAUUAAAAUGACUAUUUAUCCAAAUUAAAAAAUUAAGUUAUUCAGAGAAAAUAUUAAAUUAUUUUUUUCAAAAAUUUAAAUAUUAAAAAAUUUAAUCUUUUUUUUAUCCAUAAAAAUUUAACAUAAUAUUAAAGAUUUUGCAACACUUACAAAUCAUGUUUAAUUAAUUGAGGUAGAUUCGAUUGUUACUUAAUGGUUUAAAGUAAUCCUGAUUUCAAACUAACAAAAAUUUUAAGUUUUAAAAAACUUAUAUUAAAAUAUGAAAAAGGGAAAAGAAAUUAAUCGAUAACCAAUAUUUAUUAUUAGUACCCGUUACGUAAAAGAAAUAUUUUGGAGAAGGAAAAUGAUCAAUUAUUAAUUCGUGAAGUAGCAUUAUGUCUAUAAUAUAUAUAUAUAUAGAGAGAGAGAGAGAGCUAGUUUAUAAAAAUAUCUCCUAUGUUGUGGUUGCGGACCAGUCUACGUUGUUUAAAGAUUCAUAUUCAGAUUCAGAUUCAGAUUCAAAUUCAAAUUCAAAAGUCCCAUCCAAAAUAGACAAUGAAAAUAAAUGCAAUAGAUUCCACUAAAACAGAUAAAUAUCUAUUGAAAUGUCAAUAAUGCAGAAAGCAACAGCCAACAGCCAACAGGCAAUAGAGAAGCACUCCAAAAGUUAUAUCUUUUGAUUGAUUGGUGAGUUAAUCAAAUGGUAUACAUGUCCUUAAGUGGUUAAUGGAUCUAAGUGCAUGUAUAUGCAAAGAGUAUCUAUUAGAAAAGAUUAAUUCUUAAAUAAACAUUCGUACUUUUCUAUUUUUGGAUUCACCAAGAAAAACACAAUAUGAAGACUUUAGUCUGAAUUACAAGUAUUUUUUAUAUGAGAUAAAUUCAUUGAUUUUUUUUUUACAUAGAAAGUUUUAUUGCAAGUAGAGUUUUAUUAUAAUAUCAAUUAAUAUUUUUUUUCUGAAAUCAUCAAUUAAGAAAUUGUAUUAUUAGAGAUUUUUGUUUUUUAUAUUUUAAAAACUUUAUAAAAAAAAUAGUGAUUUUUAUUUGACUAAACCACCAAAUUUCACAAAGCCAGUCACAGCAAGCAUGUGAAGAGGGGGGCAACAAGCCACGUUACACCAAAGCUGAGCAGCCCUAGGGCAUUCAAACAGACAAUGAAGGGUAGACUCCUCAAUAUCCCCACAAACCAGACACCCUCUCAAGGCUUGGUGUCUUAGCUGCCAGGUGAAAAACUGUAUAUUAGCUGGGAUUAAAAUUGAGGAUUAAACCAACAAAUGCACAUUAUUUUUUUUUAGUUUACUAUAGUUAAAUCUUAGACUUAGGGAUGAUAAAAUAGAUUCAAAUCCUAGAAAUAUUCACAAGUGGAAAGAGUAAUUAUCCGUUUAUUAAGCCAGAGGAUAAGAUAAGUAUGAAUACUAUAAAACCUACCCAUCUUGCACAUGACACACACACACAUAUAUAUAUAUAUAUAUAUAUAUAUAUAUAAAAUUAAAAUAUAUUACUUAAUUAAAUAAUUUAUAUAUAAUAAUAACAGUCUAAUAGAGAAUAGUUAAUAUUAUUUUAACUUAUCUUAUAUUAAAUUUGUUUCAAAUUUUAUUUAAGAAAAUUAAACUAUUAUUUAUUUUUAUGUAUAAAUUUAUGAAUUAGUUGAUAAGUUUUUUCUAAGAUUUCUUUUAAACUAUAAACAUAUAUUUCGUGUUGUUUGGUGCUUCAAAUUAAUAGUAUAAAUUUAUACUUAUUUAACUUAUCUUUGUAAUGAUAAUGAUUAUCUUUGUAAGGUUCUUUAUAGUAGGAUUGAUAUUGUAUUGGGAAUUUCUUGUCACCUAUUACAUUCACUCGUCUAUAGGAUAAGAGUGAAGAGACACAAAUUAGUUUGAUCUAUGAUUCUAAGGCCCCUAGAUCUUAUAUAGAGAAUUUCCUUAUUUUCUUUAGUAACCGUAUUAUUGUGGUUAGAAGUAUUGAUAAUUUUAUCGAUGACUAAUUUUUAUUGGGAAAUUAAUUAUCUUUAAUAAGAUUUUUUUUUUUAACCAUUUUUUUUACUAGGAUGAUAAAAUGAGUUAGACCCAUCAAACCAAUUUAUUUUGACCCAUUCUAUUUUUGACAGAUUGGGAGUAGGGUUUUCAACUUACCAACUUACUUCAACUCACACUUUGUAGCCUAUAAAAAAAUGGGUUAAGGAAAAAAAAAUGGAACAGGUCAACCCAUCAAAGUGUUUUUUUAUUAAAAAAAGUUAAUAUAUAUUUUAAUAUUUUAUACAUAUGUUUAUUAAUUUUAAUUAUUUUAUUUUUUGUCGAAAUAAAUUAUCAUUCAAAAUUUAAGGUAAUAUAUUAAAUUUUUUAGUAAAUAUUUAUUAUUUAAUAUUUAUAAAAUACAAAAUCAAUUAAAAUAUAGUUAUUAUUAUUAUUUUUUAAUAAUUUAGUUUUGACAUAUGAACGAGUAAAUCUAAAAAAAAUAAAGAAUCUUAUGAGAGUGAGAGAAUUGACCUAUUUUUUCGGGUUGAUGAGGCGGGAUAAAUCAACCCAUUUUAUUACUUAAACUUUUUAUAUUUAUAAGAUUUAAAUGUGAGACUUUUGUUAAAAAAAUAUGAAAUCGAAUACCAUUCAAAUGAACCACACGAUACAAUAUCCUUAUUUAUUUAUAGUGUAAAUUAUUGGCAAGUUUUUAACCAUUUAGGAGGAGAGUAAGAUAGGUAGAAUGGAGGAGGAUCAUGAUUCAUGAAGUGCUAUCGAAAACGUCAGCGAAAAAGGCAAGGUGGUCCUACAAAUGAAACUUCGCAAUGAACGUAACCAAGAAUUAGGAAAGUAUCCAAUUCCUACCCCACACGCCACUCCAACCUCUCAUCUAAAUUCCCACCUAAUACCAUAAUUAUUGUUUCUCUAUUUAAUCCACUUCCCCCUUCCCAACUCAUUCACUCUACACUCUCCAUAUGGCCACUCUUCUUCUUCCCACGCUCCUCCUUCUCAUACCCUUCGCCACCCUCGUCUCCGCCCGCCCUCACCUCGCCGGAGACUUUCUCCGACUGCCCUCCGAAACCGAUAACGAUGACAACGUCCAGGGCACCCGCUGGGCCGUCCUCCUCGCCGGUUCCAAUGGCUACUGGAAUUACAGACAUCAGGUCCAUCUCAUACACAUGACACUUCAAUUUUUAUAUCUUUGAUUUCUUAAAUAAGUUCUGGGGUUCUAAUCUUGUAGAAAAAAAAAAUAUGAUUAAAAGAAGAAAUUAACUUUUAUCAAUAUCAUAGUAAUAGAAAAUAAAAUUAAAAAAAAAAUCAUCUAAAUAUAAAUCAUCCAACUGAAUAAACGUCCACACCUGUCAGACUUGAUAUUCAAGAAACUGUGAAACUAUCUGAUUGAGCACAAGUGGACCUCUGAUAUUUGGACCUAAAUACCUAAUGAUAACAAUUUCUAGAAAGCAUGCUGAAUAAAUAGGUGUGACUCCCUUUGGUCACGUCAGGUCUUAACCGAGAUUAGGACUCUUCAGCGGGUAUUUUUUUGAAUAGAGGGGGUGUUCUUAGCCACAAUUAAUUAUUACAAAAUAUAACAAUUUUCUGUUAUAUGAAAAUCCGGUUACUUUAAGUAUAUUCAAAUUAAAACGUACACAUAUAAUUCCUCACAAUUUCAAUUUUUUAUUAUUAUUUAUAGAUAAAAUAAUAUAUGCGCCAGCAAUACAAAAUACUAUCAUUCAAUCACAAAUCUUAUAAAUAACAGCACUUUACAUUAAUAAUAUAUAGUCAUUAAACUCGUAAUAUUAUUAUUACUUUUUGCUUUAAUGAUUUAGAGUACUCUCUUUCUUCCUUGUGGUGAUGGUGUAUAGAAACAUGGUGGAGAGAAGUGAGACAUGCAUAUCGUAGCAUGUUUCUGCGUUUGAGUCAUUCAGCUUGGCUAAGAACUUGUUCUUUCGGUUCUUGCUAGCUUAUUGUUAUAACCAGCAGAUGUACUGGAAAAUACCAACCUUAGCUGUUGGGUUUUAAUUUAAAGUUAAAAUAUAGGAAUAGUUACACACUUGUCCACUUGUUCUUAAAAAGUUGCAACUAUCUCCCUUACUUUAUAUAUUAUUCUUAUUCUUAUAUGUUGACAUCUAUUGUUUUUGAAAAGUUACGUACAGAUAUAUAUGUAAGGACCAUAUGCAUAGUAGGGUAGAAAAACUGUGAUUAGAAGAAAAUAUAUUAUUGAUCCCGUACACAACACUCAAUCAAUAUCAAUUCGUCCCCAGUAUGAAAACGAUUGCAAUAAUAUAUAGUCUUUUUACGUAAAAUCAUCUACAAAGUUAUCUCUGACAAAAUUGAAAAUGAUUGACACCUUAAUAAUUUAAUUCAACAUUAUAUGUAUGUAUUUUAAUUGUUUAGUUUUAAUGUUAAGUCUUUGUUGUUCUAUCAGGCUGAUGUUUGUCACGCCUAUCAAAUACUAAGGAAAGGUGGCCUGAAAGAAGAAAAUAUUAUUGUUUUUAUGUAUGAUGACAUUGCAUUCAAUGGGGAAAACCCAAGGCCUGGAGUCAUCAUUAACAAACCAGAUGGAGGUGAUGUUUAUGAAGGAGUUCCAAAGGUAAGUUAUGUUAGUUUUUUAACAUCCCGUAUUUUAUUGCUAUUUCAAGUUGAGUAAAUUACCCCAAUCAUUUUUGAGGUUUUGUGAAAUUACACAAACACUUUUGUUUUUUUAACCAUUACAAAAACCUUUCUUGUAAGGGGUGUUAGUGUAAUAUAUAAGAGGGUGUCGGUGUAACGCCUUCAAACAUAUGAGGGUGUUAAUGUAAUGUUUUCAAAAAUAAAAGGGUGUUAUGUGUAUUAUGAAAAAAACUUAGAGGGUCCAAGUGUAAUUUGUUUUCAAGUUUGAUAGGUUCUAAUAUGAAUUGUUUUAUGGCAGGAUUACACCGGCGAAGAUGUUACUGUUGGUAACUUUUUUGCUGCUUUACUUGGAAACAAGUCGGCACUUACUGGUGGCAGUGGGAAGGUUGUGGACAGUGGACCUGAUGAUCAUAUAUUUGUAUACUAUACUGACCAUGGAGGUCCAGGGGUGCUCGGUUAGUAGCUCUAAAUUCUUUCACUGAAAAUUUUGAUCAAAGUCAUGGAUUGGAUUAUGGUUUAUACGGGUUUCAGUAUGGUAUAGGCCUUGAUUGAGGUUGUUACUGACAAAUAGUGUGUCUACUAUCGUUGUUUGAUUGAUUGUGUUUACAUUUUCUUGAUUAUGCAUGAGUAGAAUGAAACCUCUAAAUAUUUCAGUGUCAGCUAUGAUUUCCUCAAAGUGGUGUUUGUGUUCUGUGGUAUUGGAUAGAAUCGCACAAUAAAGUGAAAAUUGCAUACAAAUCAAUGAUGUAUCUAAAGAGGAUGAUAUAUUUCAAAACUACCUUCUGUUUGUUAGAAUUUUUUAUUAUCUCUAAUAUUUUUUUUGUAAUUCUGUAUUUUCAAAAGGAAUAAGGGUUAAAGGGAAACUAGGUGUUAUGCAUCAAUGCAUCAUAGCUGGACUAUCACAUAUUUGUGAACUGAUUACAUUAGCUUAUGAUCUAAAUGUCUAUUCAACAAAUGGUUAUACUAUACAUUCAUCAUGUCUAAUACAACUUUUAUUACGUACUGAGAUGAAAAUCAUGCAUUGUAGUUUUAUAGUCCUAUUUAUCCAUUAUCAUAUUGUCACUCUUUUCUAGAGACUUUUUUAUGUCCCAUGAUUCAGUAAUGGCCUGUCUGUAUUUCUUUUUUGAGUUCUUUUUCAAUACAUGUGGAUAACAUGAAGGGUAAAUUACAGUUACCAGAGGAAAAGGAGAAAAGAAGAGGGAGAGAGGGGUGGGAUAUGUGGUCUUCAGUGUUUUUGCUAUCCAAUUUGUCUUUUGACCAUUAUUUCUUCUGUCAACAUUUCUAUUGGAUCAUUACAUGACAAAGUGAAUCUUCCUACCAAUAAUAUUAAUAUCUGCUCUAUUUCUUGUUUUGGGACAUGGGAAUGGAUUUUAGGGAUGCCUGCUGGUCCUUACUUAUAUGCGGAUGAUCUGAUUGAAGUCUUGAAGAAAAAACAUGCUUCUGGAACGUAUAAAAACCUAGUAAGUCACUAAUAUAGUUAUCCUCUUCUUAAUUUUGGUACCAAUCCUGUUUAAGCUGUUUAAUAAUACUACCUCUGGUCCCUAUUAUAAGCAACAAGUGUAAUGUAUUUUUACACUACACUUAUUACUUAUAAUAAGGACCGGUGGUAGUAUCAUGUUUGGAUUUGAUUAUUUUUUAGGUAACUAAUUUUUCCUCCCAAAAGCUCUCUCACAAAGCUUUUGGGGGCUAUGGUUAUAAGCUGUUUUGAACACAAAAUAAGCUAAAUUGACCCCACACUAAAUUAUAUUUGGAUUUACAUGAUGGUAAUGCAGGUAUUUUAUCUGGAGGCAUGUGAAUCUGGGAGUAUCUUUGAAGGUCUUCUUCCCGAAGAUAUCAAUAUUUAUGCAACCACAGCUUCCAAUGCAGAAGAAAGUAGUUGGGGAACAUAUUGCCCUGGGGAGUAUCCUAGUCCUCCCCCAGAAUAUUCAACCUGCUUGGGUGAUCUGUACAGUGUUGCUUGGAUGGAAGACAGGUAUGUGCAUAAUAAGUAAUCAUAAAUGAGAUUUAUGUGAAUAUGUGAUGAUACUUAUAUACUCAUGAUCCAUGCAAUCACAAUGGAGUAGUUCAAUGCCUGUGACUGCUGUAUUGUGUCUGUCUCUAUAAGAGUUGUAUAUACUAAUUGUUUGUACAUUGAAAGCUUUUUAUAGUAAAAUUAUAUUUAUUUUUGCACUUACUAUUUUUUUGUUAGAUCAGAAGAAUUUUAUUUUAUAUAAGUAAUGUAAAUUUUUUAGGGAUUAAUGUUAAUUUUCUUUACUUGUGAGCAGUGACAGACACAAUUUACGAACAGAAACUCUGCAUCAACAAUAUAAAUUGGUAAGUUAUUGUUGCUAACUUGAUUUAAUUUUUUAAAUUAAAUGGAUAUAAAUUGAAGAAUAUAAUUCAAUAGCUUGAUUGCUUAGUUACAAGUGAGAUUGUUUUUCUUAAUUUAACUCUUGGUUUAAUUUUAUGGGUGAAACAUUGUGUUAAGAAAUGUGUGACUGAUGUCUUCUUUACUCUUGUGCUUACAGGUUAAAGAGAGGACUAUAUCUGGAGAUUCAUACUAUGGCUCUCACGUGAUGCAGUAUGGUGAUGUACGGCUUAGCAGUGAUGUUCUCUUCCAUUAUUUGGGUACAGAUCCUGCUAAUGAUAAUUUCACUUUUGUGGACGAAAACUCCUUAUGGUCACCUUCAAAACCAGUCAACCAACGUGAUGCUGAUCUCAUCCAUUUUUGGGAUAAGGUAUCUUGUUUGUGCAAUAUCUGUUAUUUUUAUGUUAUUGAUUAAUUGCUUGAUCAUGUCAUCACCAGUGACAACCAAUGAACAUAUGUGAUGAACUGAUAAUGGGAACAAACCAUAUUGUUUGCUUAAAUUAGUUGAGUAGUGUGUCUGAGUUGUCGUGAACUCCCCGAUACCUAAGUUUAAUUUCUAUGGAUAAAAAAAUUAAUGUUCCCCAGUGUUGAGAGUAAAGUAGAAGAGUUAUGACCAGAUAUUUUGAGUAUUUGUAUGCAGUAGAACUUAACUAGUAAGAUAUCACAUAUGAGGAAGUAAAAUCGAUAGAUUUGGAAAGUUAUGUACAUCUCAUGCCUUGUUGCUAUUGAAACAUGGAGGAGUUGCUAGCAAGUAACCCUCUUUUCCCUUGGAUGUUUGGCACCAAAUGCUAAAACUACAAGAAAAUAAAGCUUGCAAUCUGAUGCCACAUUUUAUUAAGUGGGUCAUUAAAUUUUGCUUAUUAUAUAUUCAUUAUAUUGUAUAUGUAUAUCUUCUUGACUCUGUCUUCACUGUUUAUUGCCAGUUCCGCAAAGCUCCUGAGGGUUCUCUCAGGAAAAAUGCAGCUCAGAAACAAGUUUUGGAAGCAAUGUCUCAUAGAAUGCAUGUAGACAACAGUGUAAAACUUAUUGGGAAGCUUUUAUUUGGUAUUGAAAAGGGUCCAGAAGUACUCAACGCUGUUAGACCGGCAGGAUCGGCACUUGUUGAUGAUUGGCACUGCCUUAAAACCAUGGUAUCAUUUUUGUUCUGAAGCCAUAUGAUAGAUAGACUUUUCGUAUAAAAAUGAGCUUAAGAUCUAUCUCUGAACAGUGUAAAAUUUUUUACACUGUCAAUUGAUAAAAAGUUAUCUCAAAGAUGACUUAAAAAUAAUUAUUAUAAAAACUUUUACACUGUGAAUUGAUAAAAAAAAUUAUGUCAAAGAUGACUUUAACAUAAUUAUUAUAUUAUAAAAGUCAAUAAAAUUAUUGUAUAUGAUAAUUUUUAAUUGAUUAACCGCGUAAAAACUCUCUGUGCUGUUGGCGCAUAUAUUAUUUACUCUAAAAAUAUAGUAUAAUAGAAUUAGAUUCAUUGCUUAUUGGCUUGAUCCUUGAAACAAUGAUGAAGUUGAGCUUUGUGAUGGAUUCUAAUUGCAUAAUGACCUCUUUACACAUGAACAAGGGCAAAGAUUAUUGUGAGACCUUAACAAGGGCAAACAUUGUUGAACUAGAACAUGGAAUUGACACUCUUUUCUUGAUUUCAGUAUAGCAUCUCUUGUUCACCUUGGUUUAUGACAAAAUGCUUCACCGUUUAAUCUAUUUUGAAUGCAGGUGAGGACUUUUGAGACACAUUGUGGAUCCUUGUCUCAGUAUGGCAUGAAACAUAUGAGGUCCUUUGCAAACAUCUGCAAUGUAGGGAUAAAGAAUGAGCAAAUGGCUGAGGCCUCUGCACAAGCUUGUGUCUCUAUUCCUUCCAAUCCUUGGAGUUCUCUGCAAAGGGGUUUCAGUGCAUAAUAAUUCCUGUAAUGUGCACCAGUAAAGACCAAAGUAUGAUUAUUGUUACAUUAUGCUAUAUGAUUGUACUUGUAUAUACAUAUUUUGUCCCGCCUUUGUAAAUACAAUUGGGACACUACUAGGAUUGGGAAGAAGGGUCUUUACAUUUUUAGUUUGGCAAAUAGAUAUUGCAACUACCUUUGUAUAAAUCUAUUUCUGAAGAAGCAAUUACAACUUUCAAGGGAUGAUAGCAUUUUGUGGCAUAAGGAUUAAGGAGGCAUAAAGGACCAAUUGCUUUGGAAUAUUCACUCAUGACAAGGCACAAGGUCAUGCGUGUAUGCCAACACAUAGUAAUGAUGUGUGUUUUUAUUCAGUAGGCAACUGGCAGAUCGGGUUUUCCCUUGUCACUUUUGUAUAAUUAUUUUGGAAGAAUUUAUGAUGUCAAAGUUAUUGUUUAAUAUUAAUGGCGACAUUGUAUUUAUUAUUUGUAAAAUAUUGGGACUCAACUAUGCUUUGGUACCUUUACAACAGAGUCAUUAGGAUAAAGUACGACUAUUCUAUUAGUUGUGAUUAUUUUGUUGAUGCUUUUGUUUAUCUAAAGUUGGUGAUAAUUUUUAUUUCAAGGACAACUUAAAAGCAUGGCAUUAAAAUUAAAUAAGAAUAGUUAUCUUGGUGUAUUUUUCCGAAUUGAGUUAUAGUAUAAACUUAGUCAAAAUUUUAAAAUAUAUCUCGAAACAGACUUGCAUUCAAAUUUUAUUGAAAUCAUUAUCAUAAGAGGUUCUCUUAUGUGCAUCAUAAUAUAUAAGGGAUCAAACGUUCUAACCUAACAUUUAUCUUAUGAAAAGAAAAGGGGAGGCAGGGGGGCAAUAGAAUCGUAGAACAACAGAAGUAAAAGGACAGAGGAUCAUAAGCUCUAAAAAUAGGAUCUCAUUUUAAACGUGUUAGAUCCCAAAACUUACACGAGUGUGUGCAUUUUAAUAAGUGACUGCCCCAAAAGUAAAUCGCAAUUGAUAAAAGAGUAAGGUCACGUUUUACUAAUCUUCUUUUUUUAUGAAACAAGAGAAAUUUUUUAUAAGGAAUCUAACCGAGUUGCAUAUUCAUGAUUUAAAUUUGAGAUCAUUAAUUAUAUUAAAAUAACUUCUAACCAAUUAAUUCACACGUUUAGUGGUGACCUAUUAUUAAAUAAAAAACAUAAGUAUAUUUAAUGUAUUUUAAAUAUAUGAUUUUUUGUAUUUAUCGAGUAAAACAAUUAGUUGUGAAAAAUAUUGUAAUGUUCCCAUGCACAUACCACAACAAUCAGAAAUAUAUCUAAAAAUUGGGAAAGAAAAAUGAUAGUAACAACUUUGUCAUUCUCUAAAAUUCAACAAAUAUUUAAAUGUUAUUAAAUUAGCUAAGUAAAAAUGUAAAAUAACUAUUUUAUAAAUUUUUCGAACAUGACUCUAGCUUAUUUAAAGAACACAUGGCACAAGGUUGUUCUAACUUAAAGCUUAUUAAUACUCAUGUGUUGCUUAUCAUUUUGUUAAAGUUUGUUUAUUAUCUUACUCCAAAGUUGUAGAAAGGAAAAAAAAAAAAGACUCACAAAGAGGUUGGCUUAAAUUGCAAGAAUUUGAAGGUUUCCAAUAGGAUCUCACUAACCUAUUGAUAUCAUCAUGAGUAACUCAAGCAACCAUGAAACGAAAAGUCCUUCUUUGAUUAGUUUGCUCAACAUUAACCUCCAAUUUUAUCAAAAGAGGCUUGUGAUAAACCGUAACAUCCUAGAAAUUCAACCCCCAAUGCAAAUUCAUCACCACUCUAUCAAGCCUUUGCUCCAAAUUCCCUCUUUUCCAAGUAAACGAAUAUCCUUGGAAACCAGCGUCAAAGAGCUCACAAUCCUUCGCCAUUUGAUUAAAGCCUAAAACAUCUAUAAAAGACAAAGAAUGAGAGUCAUAUUUCCUUUAAUGAGAAUGAAGGAUAGAAUUAAAAUCCCCCACAACCGCCCAUGCACUAUCAAUAUCCAAGACUAGAGACCUCAAAUCAUCCCACAAACUUUGACGAAGCGUAAAAAGAUGAUUAUUCUUAAACAACAGUCAGAAGCCAAGCAUUAAAUUCCUCCAACAAACUCUUAUAUGAACAAAUUAAGAUGAGUGCUAAAAAAUUUCCACCUUUCACAUAGUCGAAUCCCAUAGGCACCAAAUACCACCAAAGUGCCCACGAGCUUUCUCAACAAAAUAACUGUUAAACCCAUCCUCUGAAUAAGACACUAAGCUUUCUUUCCACAAUAUUGCAUCUCCAAAAGAAAAAUAAGAGAAGUAAAACAUUUUCUUCUUAUCUUAGUCAUAAGAUUCACAAACCCUUUACUCUUCUUACCUAUACAAUUCUAGUAUCACCUAAUUGACAAACAAUCGCACUUUUGAUUUCCAUAUCUAAAGAUGCAACAAUCUUUGCUUAUUAUCUUCAUAUACAUUAAUAACAUUCUCUUCCAACACAUCCUACUUGUAAUCCCUUCCAAAAACAAAACCUGUGCCUAUUUUUUGAAAAACACAAGUCAUUUAUAAGACUUCAUCAUCUUUGACACUGCAUUCAAUACCCUUGUUUGAACUCACCACAAAAAUACAUUUUGACCUUCUUCUCCCUUUGAUCAUUGAAACUGAUCAUGACACAAAAGCUUGGUGAGUGGCGCGGCCAAAGCAGCAUACCCCUUGAUGAACCUUUGGUAAAAUCCAGCCAGCCCGAGGAAACCACGCAAGGCUUGUGGUGACCGUGGUGUUGGCCAUUGUUGAAUGGCUUGCACUUUUCUUGACAUCGGUCGAACUCCCUCUCCUGACACGAGAUGGCCGAGAUAUUCAAGCUGUUGUUGAGCGAAUGUACACUUUGAAAGUUUAAGGGAGAACUUGCCAUUCCUGAGAACCUGAAAAGCGCUUUCCAAAUGCAGGAGAUGAUCAGAAAAACUUCUGCUAUAUAUCAAAAUGUCAUCGAAGAAGACAAUGAUGAAUUUACGCAGGAAUGGCUGGAACAAUUGGUUCAUUGUAGCCUGGAAAGAAGAUGGUGCAUUACAUAGCCCGAAUGGCAUUACGCGAAAUUCGUAAUGUCCAUGGUGAGUGCGGAACGCGAUUUUGUUGAUAUCUGCUUCGUUCAUCAGGAUUUGAUGGUAUCCUUGCAUCAAGUCGAGUUUGGAAAACCAUCGAGCACCGCCGAGUUCAACAAGAAACUCGUCAAUGGUGGGUAUCGAAAAAUGGUCGUGCACAAUGAUGGUGUUGAGGGCUCUAUAGUCUACACAAAACCGCCAAGAGCCAUCCUUCUUCUUCACUAAUAACACUGGUGAAGAGAAGGGACUUGAACUUGGUUGAAUGAAACCACUCGCAAGCAUGGAAGCCACUUGAUCUUCAAUGUCUUGCUUCUGAAAAUAUGGGUACCGGUAGGGACGCACGUUCAUCGGAGUGAAGUUUGGAAGUAAGGUGAUUGUAUGGUUAGUUGGGCGAGAGGGAGGCAAGGUAUUCAAGGGUUGAAACAGGUCUGCGUAUUUAGUGGUGAAUUGGGUAAUGGCUGAAGGUGUAGACUCGACUGUUGACUCUGAGGUAGUGGGUGGGUCAAGUCGAAUGUGGAAAAAGGUACAGGAUGUGUUGGUGUGAAGCAGCCGACGAAGCUGCGAGGGCAACACUAACUCAAAGUUCUUUUCACGAUCCCUAUGCAACUCGAUUAAUUUACCCACAAUGAUGAAUUUCAUAGUUAAAGUUGUAUAAUAUGUAAGGACCGGGCCAAGAGUCUUCAACCAUUGUACCCCAAGCACAACAUCGGCAUCGCAAAGGGGUAGGAUAUGGAAAUUAAUGGUGAAGGAGUGGUCCUGAAUUUGGACCGUAACCGCUUGACAUAGCUGAUGACAGUGAAGCUCAUCGCCGUUGCCUACUGUGACUUUGAAUGGAGUGGUCUCUGUCGGAGAAAGGCCUAGGGUGAGCACCAUGCGAUGAUGGAGGAAGUUAUGGGUGUUGUCUCCAUCGAUCAGAAUGCUGAUUGGUUGAUCCUCAAUGAUGUCGGUCAUGCGUAGUGUUUCCGGUGCCAAAUGGCCGGACAGGGCAUGUAGGCUAAGCUGGGCUGGAGGAGGUUCUGGUAGAAGGUCAUGAGAUGGCGAUGGUGGGUGUGAUUGAAUUGAGUCUAGCUGUAGUUCCUCGUCAUCAGUGACCAGGAGGAACAGGGAGGAAGCGCACUUGUGGCCUCUGGAAUAUUUCUCAUCACAAUGGAAGCACAAUCCCUUUUCACGACGGACGGCGAGUUCCUCCGGCGUCAGUCGUUUAAAAGGUAUGGACGGUGAUGGGUUACAGGCGGGUGUUGGAAGAAGAGGUGGAACCGAAGGUGCAGAGGGAGCGCGCGAAGCCAGAGAACUAGAAGCGGAAAUGGCCGACUGAUAUGUAUUACAACAAGAGUCGAGGAUCUUUUCCUCCUGAAGGCGAGCGUACGCCACUGCCUAAGUGAAGGAAAUGGGCUGAAGAACUUGAACCUCUCUGCGUAUGGCGGGACUCAGGCCAGAUAUAAAACAACUAAGCAAAAAAGGAGCCGGAAGACCUAUUAUACGAUUAGUUAGAGCCACAAACUCCGACAAAUAGACAUUCACCGAGGAGCGUUGCGUAAGUUUGCAAAGUAGACCUGUUGGAUCUUCAUAAGUGGAGGAAGCAAAACUAGAGUGCAGAGCAUGGAGGAACGCAAACUACGACGAGAGCUGAGCAUUACGGUGCAUCCAUUGAAACCAAGCCAAAGCUGAUCCCUCCAUGUAGAAGGAGGCGAUGGUUAAGCGUUCCUGAUCCGGUGUCGAGUGGUACUCAAAAAACUGAGUUAUCUAAAAGAUCCAGCCUGUAGGAUCGAUGUCGUCAAAGCGAGGUACGUCCAACUUCAUACGGUGGUUGGUGUCGGCCAUGGAACCAGCAGAAGGCCCCGACUAUAACGAGGACGAUGUAUGUGGAUGGUCGUGUGAGGUUUCGAGUUGUGACAUGCGAUGAAGAAGAUCAUCGACUUUGGAGGACAUGGAGAGGUGAGAAGCGGUGAGUUUAGCAAUAGCCUCCUCCAAGUGAUCGGAGGACGAGGAAGAUGUUUUAGAGCGGGUGGCGCCCGCUAUGGCAAUGAAAGCACCAAUGAUACACUUGGAUUUCGAGGACCAAGUACCCUCCCAGAAUUAAAGAUAAGAGAUAGCUGAAGGAGUAUAUUAUUUCUGAUGAGAAGCACUUAUUACAUGAGAUAUUUAUAGUGGUAAGGAUAAGGGACAUGGACCCGACAACACGAACGGAAAAGAUAGCUAUAUCAAGGAAUUAUCCCACACUGAAAGAUAUUCUUUGAUAUUCUACUAAUGACCUAGCUACACAUUACAAUCCUAGCUACUGUUACGUGCUUCUUGCAUGGUGCAUGACACUCUACACGUUUCGCACGUACUCCUCUAAAUAGGCUCGAAUCCUUUUCUUCCUUUUGGGCCUUGUCUCACCUACUUCUUACACCUCCAUUGUUUCCUCUAGACCCUUAUAUUCGUAAGCGUAUCAUCGAUCUUACUCAAAACCCUAAAAGAGUUAUCUUCUUUCACCCAUAUUAAUCUAUAACUAUCUUUAUGAAACACAUAUAGUCUAUUCUAAUUAUCAGUUAGUGGAUGAGAUCACACUUUUAAAUUUUUUUAUAUAUUAUUUGUUGUUUUAUAUAAAAUUUAUUAAAAAAAACUUACUUUUAAUGUAAUUUGUAUAAAAUAUUUUUAUUUAAUAUACGUAGAAAUGACUGUAUCAACACAUUUAUUCUUAACUAAAAACAUCAAUUUAUUUAUGAAUAAAAAGAGAAAAAAAUAACAUAAAUAAUAUUUUCCUUAUCUGUUAUUAUAGAUAAAAAAGACUGUAUGAACAUCAUUGCUUAUUAUUAUAAUCAAUAUUAACUUAUGUACAUAAAAUAAGUAAAAGACCCGACAUAUGAUCAGUGAUCGCAGAAAAUGGAGACCAAAGAGAAACAAAUCAAUGUUCUGGUGGUUUAGUAAAUGGUGAUGAUAAAACUAACCAUCAUCAGGUUAACUAACCCUAGUUAACUUGCUAUACCCACCAUCAUUUCUAGGCGCGAGAAGUAACCAAUAAGAAAGUAAAAUAAAACAAAAAAUAGUUUUAAAAUAGAAGUAAUAAAUAAUCAGGAUCUGACGGCUCUGCAGAUUCCGUCAAUUGGAGUAACGCCGUUAGACAAAUUAAACGGCAGAAAUAAACGACGUAACGGGUUUCUAUGUAUGGUUCAAGCGAGGGUAAGCGAGAGCCGUCAGAUCAGAGAUCAACGGUCAACAAUUUCCGGAGCGUGGCAGAAGAUGUAUAUAAACAGAGAGCAUUUCGUUCUAUCACUGAGAGCAAAGACGAAGAAGAAACACCCAGUACCCUUCUUACAUCUUAAUUUAUUUUUCUGAAGACUUUUUUUUUUUUUAAUUUCUUCAUUUCCACCAUUUUCUGUUACGCCAAGCUGCGUCGGCGACGCGAAUUGUGAUUACUGAACGGUGAAUUUUGAGGAUCUGCUACGUUUUUCAACAUUGAAUAAGGUUACUGCAAUUUGUUGCUAUUUUUUCGUUGUGGAUUUUGAGUAUAAUCGAAUCGCUAAUCUUGACGUUGUUUUUUUCGUCUCGUUUUUUUCUAUUUGCAGGUGUAUGUAUCAGACAAGUAUUUGUCAGAAUCACAUUGUUAAUUCUCUUCUAAAGAUUUCAUUCGUUCAUCUUCGGUAUUUAAAGGCGCUCCAUAAUUUCUAGUUUUGCAGGUUUGUUUCAAUUGUUCCAUUCUUCUAUUUCAUGUUAUGUGCUAAGUUUUUUGAGGUUUUCUGUUUUCGCAUCUGCAGAUACAUUUUUCUCUGGAAAAAUCUCUGAAUUUCGGAACUCUGGACUAUCUGCUAGAUUGUGCCUGAGUUUGUACUUGUGGCCAUGGUUGCAGAUCGAAGCUCUGAAAUGUCGUUAUUAGUUGGAUUUUAGAAAUAGAUUUGCAUUUUUCGAAGCUUCAGAACUGAAACCAGCGAGCUUUUGUGAGCCUUGGGUUUUGACGGAAUCGGAUUAGUUUAGGUGAGAAGUUAUGAAUUUACUUGCCUAAAAUCGGAACUAAGGUUAUGAAUUUCACCGUAAUGUUAAUCCAAUUUCGUUGUUCGUUUUCAGUUCCUUGAUUUUCCCCUGCCUCUUCAUCUCUUUCUGAAAAUCGAAAAACUGUCUCAUUUUUCUUGUGGUUUCUAACAUCGUGCAAGUUUUCUGGAAUGCGUUGAUUUUCAUCCCUUACGGUUUCAAUUUCAUGAUUUUGGAUCUCUUCCCCUUGCAAAUGUUUUGGUUGUUUUUUUUUUGUUCUUAAUUUUUUUUUUCUAUCGCUUACAAAUAUAGUGGAUUUAAGUCAAGUCCUCUGUUUCUCUCUCUAUGUUUCGGUUAUGACUCUUUCUCUAUUUCUAUUUUCAAUUCUUCUUUUUCUCCUCUUUCUUUCGGUGUUUAUGAAUCAAAUUGUUACUCAAUUGGCUCAAAGAGCAAAACCUGAACAGCAAAUCUUACUCAACCGUUGAUAUCUGCAGACUCAAGCAAACCAAUUGAACAAUUAAAGAGAUAAAUAACUGCAAAGUCUAAGAAGAGAAGCCAUUCAACCUUCCAAGCUCUCAUGCAUUUUUUUAUCAGUUUUUUUUUUUUUUUUCAUUUUUUCAGUUUUACACAUAUCAUUCCAUCAAAUCAUGGUUGAAAAUCUCGCAGUCCAUGUGCAGCAAAUUGAAUCCAAUUAUAAAAUCGCUAAAACCCAGUUAUCCCUCACAAUUUUCAUCACCCAUUUCUUGUCUUCACCUUGGAAGAAGAUGCUCACACCGCGCGAUUCCCAUGGUUUUCAUUUUCAUCUUCCUUUUCCCCUCUCGAAAACCGUGGACCCUCCAGCGCACCUUCGUUAUCUUUAUUAUUACUAAAAUAUAGUAAGAAGCUAGUAGAUGCGUAAUGCAUCAUUAAUAUAUGAAAAAAAAACAAUAAGCUUGGAUGGACACUAAAGCAUGCCGUGUUGUUACGGUAGAUAAUACAAAUCCAACACCAAUUUGAAGUUAGUUUGUUGUAUGUAUGCAUGUAUGUAAUCAUAUUUUUUUUUUGUUAUUCCAGUAAUAUCCCUAGAAACUUAACCUCAUUAAUUGUGAUGAUGACAGAUGGAUAAAGAGUCUCAUAACAAUGGCAAUAGCGUUAGAGAAAGAGACAAAGUUGGAGGAGGAGGGGAUAAUAGUAGUGGGGCCGGGUCGUUGUUGCUGAGAGGUGGCUCCGAUGGAAUGAGGCAAGCAACGACGUCGGAUUUGGGGCUGCAGUGGGGUAACAGGAAGAGACUAAGGUGCAUGAAGGUGCAGGUCAAACACGACUCUUCUUCUUCAAACAACCCGGUUCAGAGGACAACCACAACAACGGUUCGGGUGGAUCGGAGAGUGGUUAGAACCGAGAAAGAUUCUUCUUCAAAUAUUAUUAGUAGACCCUUACCCACUAUUAACAACAUCAGCAACAACAUUACUAAUAAUAACUUUCAUAAUAAUAAUAAUCAGAGUAACAACGGGUAUCUGAAUCUCCGUCAACGCCCACCUUCCCCGCAGCAACCUCCUCCGCGAAUUCUCAGGUAUUUUUGUUUGCAUCUUCCCUCGACUUUUUUUAUUCUUACAUUUAUUUGUUUGUUUAUUUAUGCUGAUAUCAGUUAACCCAAAAAACAGUGUUGAGAUCGUUAAAAAUUCUAAAUUAUCUAUAAAAAAAUUAAAUUAAGUAAAAAAUAAAUUGUGAUUAAAUUAUAAGAAAGUUGGGGUGUUGGAUUUGGAAACAAGUAAAACUUGGGUGGAAAUUACAUGGAUCUAAUAUUGAAUUCAAACAAAACUGAUUUGAUUUUUGAGGGGUUUGAAUUAGAUCCCUUAUUUUGAUUUUUGUCUUAUUUUUUAAAUAUGAUUUUAAUUUUUUUAACAAACAAAUUAAUUUUUUUACAACAAAUAAAUUUUAUCAAUUAAAAUAAGUGUGAUAUCCUAAAUUAUAAUAAAUUUUUAUUGACUAGUUUUUAUUUUAAAAAAUAGUAUUUAAUGAAUAAAAAGUCAAAUAUAUAAGAUGUAUAUUUUUUUUUUGUUAAACAAGCUUCAUAAAUCACAAGUGGAUUUAAAUUAUUAGUUACAAGAUAAAAUGAUUUUUAAAUAUUUUUUUUCUAAACAUACAAAAUAAUAAGAUUAUUAAUUUUUUGGGAUAAAAAUAACAAAAUUAGUAUGAGUUUAAUAUGUUUGCAAUUUGAUUUGAUUUGGUUCGAAGAUCGAAUUGAGCUGAAUAAAAGAUACUUUUUUUUAGUUGUUUCUUAAUUUACAGUUUGUUCAAUGGUACGGGGGUAUGAAAUGAUUUUGCUUGAUUCUUGGACAUUUUCAGAAAGAUUUUUCUUUGUCUAAUCGAUGUUUCCGAUAAUGGAAAUUUAAUUUUUGAUUUUAUUCCUAUCCAAUGCAAUGUUUUUGCUAAUGGGUUCAGAUCUAGUCAAAUAUCCGAUAAGCAUGUAGCAAAUAAAUUAUUAUUCGUAUAGGAUUUUGUGUGGAAGUGGUGGAUUCAUGUCUGCCACGAAAUUUUUUGUGCGUGCGGGGGCCGACUAAAUGCGAUGAGGGCAACAUGUAAGACUCUUGUGUCAGUCACAAAAUCUUCAGCUUCAAAUGGUAUUGUGAAUAUUAAAAAUUGGGCAUUGAAGGGAUAUUUGCUGCAUUUGGGCUGAAUAUUUAUCAUGACCCAUCAGAUGAGGCUUAUAUUUUGUCCACUCUCCAAUUGGUUAGGUCCUCGUGGAUGACGUCUCAUCCAAAUUAUAAAGAAGAGCUAACGGUAAGUGCACGUGAGGUCGUUUGUCUUCUUUUCUUCCCUCAAAAAUCAAAAUUAUUCAUUUGGAAAUUUUUGUUAUUACUAAUUUAGGAAGCUCGUAUUAAUGUGCAAUGAGUAAUGAUUACCUCACCAAUUUCUUCAUAUUGAUUGUUUUCUACUAGAAGUGUUAAGGGUUAGUGAUAUUUAGACGCAAGUAAAGACAGGAACAGGCAACAGGCAAAUGGUUGUGCUAGUUCUGAGUUGUGUGGGUUGGGCAGUCUUUGGUAACAAAUUCUGAUAAUCUAAACUAUGGUGAAGAUCUAAAUCCAACCUUUCCUUUGAAACAGAUAUGUUAUUUAAUCAUAAAAUUAAGAGGAAGGGAUAGCGAUCAGUCUAAAGAUAGGAAAAGGUUUUAGGUUUUAGAUUCAAAGAGAGAGAGUGUUUGGAAAGAUAUUUAUAGUUAUCUCACCCAAAAAAGACAAGUGAGACUUCAAUUUGCUAUCUGGCAAAUGUAAGACUUUGUCUUAAUCUAUUCCAUCAUCCUCGAUGUUUUUGCAACAAAUUUUUUGAUAUUUCGUUGUUGAUAUUCAUGAUAUAUGACAUUUGAUAUUUCAUUGUUGAUAUUCAUGAUAAAUGACAUUUUAUGGGUCUAUGUAUUCUCUCUGCAAAUUGAAGUUUUAUGAAACCCUCUCAAAUCUUCAUCUGGUAUUUUAUUUUAUGAUGUGUAUUGGUUUUAUCUCAGCUUUUUUAUGCUUUUGUCUCACUGUGUAUGAUUGAUAUACACAUACCAAACAAUAGGAUAUGAUGUCUCAUGACCAUGGAGGGUGUCCUUUUAGGCUUUGUUUGUUUUUAAAAUGAAAAUAAUAUUUUUUUUUAGAUUUACAUCUUUUAUAUUUUAUUUUAAUUUAAAAAUUUAUUUUUAUUUCUAGCUUCUCAAUUUUCAUUUUCUAAAUUUAUCCAUCCUUGGAGAGAUCAAGUUUGAUGACCUUGGAAAAGUAGCACUAAACUUAAUCCUCCGUCAUACCAGAUGUCCAGAUCAUAUUAUAACUGCAUUGCACUUUGUGGAUCUCUAGGUCUACAAUAACAACACAGUACCGGAACCCAUCAUUAUCAUGAGUAUUAUUACUCCUAGUCCCUAGUCUUUGUCGGGAAGAUGGAAUGGAGGGUCUCCUUCCACGUGUCUCUAAAGUCAUUUUCUAUAAGAAACCCCUUUUGUGGCCGUUGGAUGAGGCACCAGGUGUCAGAUCUGGUACGUCCCAUUCUAUACUUCAACCACGUAGGAAAGUAAAUAAAAUAGCCAAUAAGCAUUCUAGAUCCAAUGGCCCCUAACUUUCCGUGGAACCAGCUGUGUCCGUUAUAAGGAAUCAAUGCACAAAUCUCGCAAAUAUUCAUCUAAAUCUUUUCAUCUUAGGAAGUAAAAUAAAAUAUAAAAUUAAAGACACACACCAGCCCCCGGUUUCUACAAAUACCCCACGAAGAAGCCAAAAAUCAUCCCAUAUUUUACGCUAUUCCGUUGAUAUCCCAACCUCUUCAAACCCUGCGAUCUAGAUCGACCCACAAGGUCAAUUUCGUAAACCCACUACUCUCUCCCCUAAAGUUUUAAUUUUCUUUUUUUUAUUAUUUUUAUUAUUUUUUUCAAAAAACAAAAAAAUACUUCUCAAUGCAUAUUUGUUUGUUUCCCUAUUUAUCACGUCGUGUUUCGCGUUCUUACGGUUAAGAAAGAAAAACAUAUGGGAUAAUAAUCAUAUGUGGGUUUUGCUUUUGUUUUUUAUUUUUUUAUCAUUCAUCUUACUUAGGAAUUCGGAGACUUCAAGUGCUAUGAGAGGAGGCCAAAGCAACGGGAGUGUUAGGGGAAUUGCCUCACCGGACAGGGGUGCGCACGAUAAGAAGGGGACCCAUAACAACCACCUUAAUGACAAUAAUAACAACAAGUCUGUGGUCUCAUCAGACACCGCGCACGAAAGCAAGAAGGGUGGUGGCUCGCCGUCCGGCAGUGGUGACGUGGCUCCGCCGGUGUGGCCGCCAAAGUUCGUGAUUGCCUUGACGAACAAGGAGAAGGAAGAAGAUUUUCUGCUGUUGAAGGGUUCAAAGCUUCCACAGAGGCCCAAAAAGAGAGCCAAAUUCAUACAACGAACCCUCAAUGUAAGGCUCCACUAACCCCCUUUUUUUUAUUUUUUUGCUUUACGUCAUUUCCACUUUAAUUUAGUUAUUAUUAUAUCUUCUUGAUGAAGUUUUUCUACAUGGACCAUUUCCUAAAUCAUAGAUUGCAGAAAUCGAUGCAUUAGAAAUAUUUAAACGUAAUUGAUUGUUGAUUGAUUAAGAAAGCAAGGUUUUUUCACGUGACUUCAGUUUAGAAUUUUGACUAAAUGAAACGCUUUGUGAGAAUUGCUUGGACAAUGAACAAGAAUGAAUGAUGGUAUAAUUUUCCGAAAAAAAAAAUUGGGGGACUUAAUUAUAGUUAGCGCGUAAUGUUUUAGUGACCAUAUUAUAUUUUGUGAAAAAAUUGUUUUAUUAAAUUAUACAAAUUUUAAUAUGAUUCAUCUAUUUAAUUUCUAAGAAAAGAGAGUUAGAUACACAAAAUUCACUUGUUAAUAAUCAGACUAAAAUUCAACAUCAGGAAACGCUUCCAAUUUAUGAAACAUACACUCCAUUGUGGGAUGUAUGAAAGUGGAAGGAAGAGAAAGAUAAAAAAAAAGAAAUAUAAAAAAGAGUAGUGAUACUUGGAACUUGGAUAAAAAUCAAAAUUCAAAUAUUCUAUCAACAAUAUUUUUUUUUUAUUUUUCUUUCUAUCAAACUAUAUCAAUCAAAUCAAUUAUCUUUUAUAUAUUUAUCAUUUUUUUAUUAUUGUUUUUUCUCUUUAGGUAUAUGUUAUCGUAUGAGGUGUCUAAGAAAUAUUUUUCUAGGAAGUAUCAUAUGUAUUAAAUUAUUAUUUGAUUGAAAAAGAAAAAAGAAAUUAAAGUAAAAAAUGAUAGAUAUAAUAAUUGAUAUGAUAGAGGAAAAAAUACAAAGAAAAUGACAUAAAACAGAAAGGAAAUACAGGAGAAUAAUUAUUUAUUCUGGGAUAGAAUGUGGCAUGCCAUUUAUUUUGCUUCUUUUUUAAAAUAAAAAAUAUUCUGUGGCUCUUGUACGGUAGUGCGCGUCCUUUCUUUCUUUUACUUUUUAGACUUCUGGCUGGAAAAGCUAUAGACAGAGGGUUGGCAAGCUGUGGAUGGGUUUACACGCGUCAGCGGAAGCUUGUUUCACAGCGAAUAGUGUGGGUCCAAAAGUUCUGUUACGAGAACUCAAAAGUCCAAACUCCUAGGUAUUUAUUAUUUAAACAAAAUAAAAGUUCCUAAAAAUUAAUGAUAUUUUUUUUAAUAAAAAUCACGAAAAUAAAGUUAUAAUAAAAUGUACUAAUUAAUAAUAUUUUCCCUCAAUUACCAUUUUCUCAAAAAAAAGAGUAAAAAUACUCUAUUUACGAUAACCUACAAAGCAUUUAUACGUAGUUUAAUCUCACAAAAUUUUAAAGAUAAAUUACUCUAUUUGGUUCUUCAGGAAUAAUACGUAGACGUUGAAAUUGUUUUUUUUUUAAAAAAAAAAUUUGGUUAUCCAACUAGUUUUUUUUUUUAAGAUUUAGUUUGAUAUUAUUAUUUUUUAAAAUUAUACGUAGAAAUCAAUAAUUAUUUCUUUAUUGAGUAUGAAUACGGUGAUAUUUUAAAACUUUGAUGAACCCAUUUUUUUAAAAUAUUUUAAGUAUUUAUGUGAUUAUUUUAAUAAUAACUUUUUUUAGAAAUAAUGUAAUAAUGCCUAUAACUUAAAAAGUGACGAAGGUUUUUUUGUAAAAAAAAAUAUACAUAUAAUUAUUUUAAAUUUCGUUCAUGUUAUUUGUUGUUAUUAUAACAUCAUAAAAUUUAUUUAUCUUAGACUAUUUUUUUAUAUGAAGAAUAAAUUAAAACAAGGAAUACAUAUAUAAUCAAAAUGAUUUUAAUCUUAAAAGAAUUCUUAUAUGUUCAAAUUCAAGUCAGAAGCCGAUGGUUAAGAACCUGUCUAAAUGCUAGCAAAUCUAGUACUGGCGAAGCUAAGGAUGAAUUUUUUUUUAUAAAAAAAGGAAAUAUAUCCUAAAAUUUGUGUCUUGCAAAAUAGUAAUUAAUAUCUUGAUUCGGCAGAGAAGGAACAGAAGACGCACUUAAUUAGGUGCCACGUCCACAUCCAAUGGGGUGUGAUCAAUGUGUGAUGCUGACCGGGUUUCUUUUUGUGGCAUACAUUUUGUUCAUUUAAAAAGUUUGUGGUACACUAAAUUAGGUGGGGAAAUCUUAUGAUAUUCUAAUACUCGAGUAUAAUUAAAGAAAGGUGCUUUUUUUUUCUUUUUUUACACAAAAGAAAGGUUUUAAAAGGUACAGAACAAUUUUCAUAAAAUUUACACAACCAUAAUACUAGUAAUUCUUUCGAGUUUGUUGCAGGUAUUCUGUUCAUAUGUUUAUUUUUUCUCAACUAAUAGGAAAAAAAAAAAGAUAUAAGAGAAUAGAAACAAAGUCAAUGUAAUAUCUGCUGUGAUAAGAAAGGAAGACAGAUAGAUAGAGAAAAAUAAAAUGAGAUAUAGGGAGGAUGUAAAAUAUGGAUGAGAAAAAUUCAGAACUUAAUAAAUUAAAGCUGAAUGCAAUUAUUAUUAUUAUUAAGAAUAAUUAUAUAUGGAUAACAUAUUAUUUCUCUUUUUUCAUAUUAUAUCUUAUAUUUAUAGCUCUCUUUUUUUUCCCUCUCUUUUAAGAUGGCAAAUAACAGGGUGUUCAUGCAUCUUUAUCUAAGAACAAAAAUAUAGAAAGGUACAGGGAGUGUAUAUAAAAACGCAAGAGAAAGGAAAGUGAGAAAAUCAUAGUUGCUUGGUGUAUUAUUAUUCACGCUAUUUUGAGUUGGGUUUCUUGUGGGUUUGUUCAUAAGGCUCUUAGUUUUGAAUGUUCAAUAAAUAGACUUUACAUAAACCACCAAAAUUGAAGGUGGGCAACACCAAGAAGAGGGUACUCCUUGGUCGUGUUCAGGUUCAUAUCGUGACCUUGGGGUUUGGUUGCGUAUGUUGAAAAGCAGGAUUGGAAAUGCUGGAAUUAAUGUCCUGUGAGUUGUGAUAGGAAUGAUAUGGGUUGUCCAUAACAAGUAGUCCUUCAAGUUGAUCUCUGAAUGUUAAUAAAAUAUAUCAACAUAAGGACUAAACCAACAAUAUUUCAGAGAUUACUUAUAUAAGUUUAUUACUUAUUUUGCAUUUGGUAGUAUGACUAGUAUCUUAUUCUCUUGUUUAUGAUUCAGUUUUCAUUUUUCAUUGAUGGACUAUAGUCUAAACUUAAAAUGUCCAACUAGCUGUUUUGUUCAUUUUGGACUGUGUUGCAGCUCGUUAGUCCAGGUACAUGGCUGUGCGAUCUUACUCUGGAACGAUAUGAAGUUAGGGAGAAGAAGAUAUCCAAAAAGGUAGGAGAAAAAAAAGUAAGGACUUUAACCUGCUUCUGCUGUGUUGUGUAUCAUAUCAUAAGUGGCUAGCUAGUGUUUUUGUUCUUUUUUGCACGUAAAUAAAGAAGCCUAAUUUGGAUUUUUUUUUAUGCAGAGACCAAGAGGGUUGAAAGCAAUGGGCAACAUGGACUCUGAGUCUGAAUAGAAAGAAGCAAGGCAAUGAGUAAAGUUGUUUUAUUUUAUUUUUUUCUGUAGUCUAAGGGGUGUGAGAAAUGUUGAGAUAUUGUAAAGCACGGCAAUUGGCAACCAAGAAAUCGAAAUCAAAUAGUAUAAAUUACUUUCGCUCUGAUGACCCUGAUUUUCUCAUCUUUCUUCCUUUUUGGUCUAACAUGAUUUUCUCACCUUAAUUUGGUGUUUUUGGUCCAAGAUUAAUUUUUCCUCGCAAUUACGACAGGGGACCCAUCUUCAGCUGAAGGAUGACUUCCAGCUAUGGGGUGUCGGUUUCCCACCUAUUGGUGGACCCUCAGAUAGGAGUCUAAAAUAAAAUCCACCGUAGGAAAAGGAAAGCCUCAAGAAAUGGUUUUUAUUAAAAUUAGUGUGGAAAUCUUGGAGGAUGAUAUGAGUUCCAACCAUGUUGACACACAUGCCAGACCCCAAUGACACCAAGAAAUAUAACUUUCACGAAUGAGAAAAAAAGUUAGAGCAGUGAUAUCUCUCUUUAUGUCACAUUGAAUACAUGUUAUAUCUUUUUUUUUUUUUUACUAUUUCUUUCUCAUUCUAAGUAUAUAUUAGCAUUUGGAGUCACAAUAAAAAAAAAUAUUAACUUAUGGGGUGUCCAUUUAACAUUUUCAAAAGAUUAUUCGUGGUUCAUUGUUUCAUUCAAUGUCACAACUUAUGAACAGGGUGAUAAUUUUUAAAUUAUUGCCCUUUUAAACAAUAACUUAAUUAUUAAUGAAAACUUUUCUAUAAUUGAACUAUUCAAUAAUGUUUACUGCUAAUUAUAGGUGUGGAAAUGGCCUGAAUAUUUUUUAUUCGGCCUUAAAUUUGUGUGUUUGUUGUUGGAUUGCAAUUGUUUUAAAAUUUCACAUCUCUCUGACAAUGAUUAUCCAUGCUAUGUAGUUGGUGUUAAAAUAAACAAAUAUGCAUUAAGACAAGGGUGAGUAAUAAGGAUUUCGUUUCUUUUUGUGGGCGGGGGCAGAGGUGUUAGUAUAAUUUAGGAAAAUACUUGAAGUGAAGUAGGAUUGAUUGGGAAUCGAAUGAGUUUGAAUUCUCAAGUGUGUGUAAGGAUCAAAGAGGAAAUUGAAUCAUCAAAGGACUGAAACAUAUUGAUUUUUUUAUAGGUGCAAAAGGCUUAGUGGAGGAGAUAUAAGGUGGAUUGGGUCAUGGCUGAUUAAGGGAGAAGGAAAGUGGGAAAAUUUUGAUUAAAGAAACAAUAAAUGCAUGAAACAAUUUGGAUGGAGUUUUUUUUUUUUUUUUUUUCUAAGGUGGAUGGAGUCUUUUGAAAAUGGACCAAACGAAUUUAUCAAAAGGUUCUUGUAUGGAGGAACAAAAGUAGCAGAUAAAAGAUAUAUUAAAAUAUUCAUAUUACAACUUUAACAAAAAAAAGGAAACAUUAAUUAAUUUUUUAAAAAAAUUUGUCACCAUUUUUUUUAUAAAACCAGUUUUUUAUUCACCAAGAAAAAGGAACCAGUAUAGUAUUUGGUGUAUUCAUAGAUAGUAAACGAAAAGAAGUAAUGUUAUAUAUUUUUACAAAUCUUCUUAAUAUUAUAAGGUUUUAAAUAAAAAAUGAAAUAUAUUUAAUGUUUUAAAAAUAUAAAUAACAUUUUUUGGUACAUGGAGAAUAUUGUUGGGAAAUAUCUGGCAAUGGAGUAGGAAAAUACACACAAAAAAAAUAACACUUAUAGUAUAAAAUCAGUAGGAGAAUAUUGUAGGAAAACUUGGAAUUAUUGAAUUAAAUGUUGGCAAAAAUAACAUUGUGAGCAUGAUAGAUGUCUACUGGUUUCAGUGUUGCUCAGUAAAGCCAUUAAGUUUUAAGAUGUAACGGCAAGUGCUCUAAGUAGACAAAGGAACAUAGAAUUGAGGUUGUCUGGAAUAAAGUUUAAAGGGGUUCAUUUUAUAGACUCGAUGCACAUGAUGCCUACGUAGGCAAACCAUAGACCACUACUUGUUCUGUAAUGCAUCAAUUAUCAAAGACAAAUGGGGCAACUGAGUUUGUAGGAGCAUGAGGGAUAUUGGAAUUGACUUUAGCUUUGUUGCGGAUUUUAAAGAGUUAAGGAAUGAGCUGGUCUUUAUUUUAUUUUAGUUUUUUCCAACAAAUGUUAAUUUUGUUAGCAGAAAAUAUCAAAUUUAUAUAAAAAAAAAUAUUUCUUAAUUAUCUAACUCAUCUUAUGUUUUCAAAAUUAGCUGGUCUUAGUUAGCUCUCCAAAAGAAUGGCCGAUCAAUUAGAAUAGGUAGCAAAGAUUGCCCCAGUGAACGCACUCUUCAAAAUUCAAAGAGAAGUUAUGGAGUUGCUUUUUAAGAUAAAGAAACUACUUCGCAAAAGUGAAAAGAAUCAUAAGAAAUGUUUGUACUUUUAAAAUGUUCUUAUAAUCACUUUUUUUUUUUUUGUAUGCAUAACACUUUUUCUUUUUUUUAGUAUCUCACAACAAAGAGAUUCCCUUUUUAAAGAAUGGUUAAACACAUGAUUGUUGGUUUAGGGGCAAGAUGCCGUUAUUCCUUCUUGUGAUCAUAUAAAGACAGCGAAGCAUGGAAUAAUUUCAGGAAUUGAUUCAUUAUUCAUAUUGGGUACUUUUUCUUCUUGGUAUGUACACCAAACGCUUAAUUUUAGCAAAAUGAAUCCUAGCACUGAUUAAUGCUAUCACUUUUUACACAUUUUCUUAAUAAAAAUAUAUCAAUAAAGUAUUAAAUGAAAAUAUGAAAAUUGUAUUCAUAGAAUGUCUUAAAAAUAUAUUUAUAAAAAAGGCCAAUUGUAUUGAAAGAAUACUAAUCAAACCCUUUCCAUUUCCAAAACCAAAGUCUUUCCAAUCCACUGAAGUAAUUGGGGGUUAUUUUAUUUUUGUUGGAGUUGCUUUCAGACACAAGUCUUACUACAUAGGAAAUGACGCCACGUCUCUCUUUAGUCCUCACUGCCAGAUGCCAAUAUUGUUUUUUAAUUCAUAAAAAUGUCGAUAUUGUUUUACCAACGUGUCGCAAUUUAGCUUUUAAUAUGCAAAAAUUAUUUUCUAGUUUAGAUUAAAAAUGUAAGAGUACCACCACAUAAACGUCUGGUUCAAACAAUAAAAAUAGCAGUUAUGGGCUCUUUACUGUAUAGAUUCAAUAUAAAAUAAAAUUAAAAAAAUUUAGUAAAACAUGAAUUUAGAAUUAUUCUUGGUGUAGUAAUUGACAAGCUUCCGUUCAGGAAGGGUCAGGCUCGCACGAAAUUUACUAAAAGAUAAAGGUCAAAAGGUAUAUUUCAAAGAGCUUUAAGAGCACCUAAGAAAAAAGUGGCCACCAACUCAUUCUAUUCUAUUCCAAGAAACGUAAUUCAGAAGAUUUCGUUUCAAUACUGUUAAGUGCCAAAUAAUUUAAUAUAUGAUUGUCAUCUUUGCAAAACGUGUUAUUGUGUAUAAGUACUAUGCUUCCUUGGUUCUUCAUGUUUAUUAAGUAAAAUAGUAUAUAAAUUAAUAAAUAAAAUAGGAGUAUUACUUAACUAUUUAAAUGCUCAAUAUUUUCUCAAAAAAAAUAAUAGUUGAAUCAAAUCACAUUCAAAUUAAUUAAUUUAUUAAAAAUAACUUUUGAUACAAAAAAAUACUGCUAGUAAGCUACAAUAAAUAUAGUUUCUUGCUAUUUUAAGAUAAAAACUAAAAGUCCGGUGUUAUAAAAAUAAAAGUGAUACUCUCUAAUUUCAAUUAAUUCUCGUGUCCAAAAUAAUUAUAAUUUUGUUAGCCGAAACAAACACAAAAUCAUAGCGCGUGGUCAAUUACACAGAUCCAACGGUUUGAUUUCUUUUCGACAAACAUUGAAUCGAAUUGAACUGAAAUCUUCGACGAAGAAACCACGUUUUUCAGAGACAUUUCAGUUUCAAAUCUACGUCAAACCAAUUCAUCGCUACCAAAAUUAAAGCAGCAUUCACAGCAAACUCGACAAAAUAAUUUUAGAAAAAAAAAGGAACAAAUAAAACAAAGAAAUCAAGCUAUUAAAACAAAAACGAAGAACAAAUUUGAAUAUAAAACAAAUCGAUUAUGUACUAGAACCAAUGAUAACAACAAUAAGAAUACUAGUCAAACCAUAAAAGCAAUAUAGAUCCAGAAAUCAACAUAUCUAGCAAUAAUCGCUACAUAGCAAUAUCAAUAGAGAGAAUUAUAUACUAAUGCUACUCAAAUCUCGGCUUCUACUAAAAAUCCACAAAUAAAAUCCAUGAGCUACGCUCAGAUCCGGAGUGUAGAUCCGAACGCGAGAGCGGCUCCGGCGGCGAGAACACCGGCGACGAAUGACGGCGACACGGCGGCAGCGGGAGAGGUAGGGCUCGGAGCCGGAGCUUCAGCGGCGGAGAUGACGGCGACGAACACCGACAUUACGACGGCGAGGAACAAUGCUUUGGAGAAAGCCAUUGGUGAAUUUUGCUGAAACUGUUUAGGGUUUGGGGUUUGUUUCGUUGGGGGCAGUGAGAGUUCUCUUUGAGAAGAGGAGAAAGCAGAGGUUUUAUAUAGAGGGAGAGAGAGAGGAGACGUUACGGGCAGUUCGGGUAGCUGCCCGCCUGCCCGAAGUACAGACUGGCAAUAGGUCCGUUGCCAGCUGCAUCUACUUCUGAGAAAAUCAGAUUUCACAUGACUGUUUAUUGCAACGACGUCGUUCCGAAUGAAAUCC